UAUUAAAAAUUCAUAACUGCAAUGGAUUGAGGUCACUGCUUCUGGUGUUCCAACAUCUCACUUUCCUUGAAGAGUUUGAAGUAAAGGACUGCAAGGAGCUGGAGUUAUCUGGAGCUGGCAUCCAAAUAUUCCAAGAUCAUACAAGCCUGCGCUCUCUAUGGCUGCAAAAUAUUCCAAAGUGUCGGCAUCUUCCGGAGUGGCUUCAACAUCUAACAAAUCUGCAACGGCUUUAUCUCGUUAAUUUGCCCAAUUUAACAUCUCUUCCGGACGAGAUGCGUUGCCUAACCAGUUUGGAGUAUUUACAAAUACGAGAAAUUCCUCAGUUGGAGGAAAGAUGUCGGAAGGACAUUGGUGCUGAUUGGCGAAAAAUUGCUCACAUCCCCAACAUUCGGUUGAUUCAGGUUGGUCCGUCUUUGUUAUUUAUUUAUUUUGAUGACCUUAUCGUUUUUUGAAGAAAAAUAAGAGUGGUAUAUUGAAUCUCCAAGUCAGGGGUCUGAUGCCAUUUUUCAUUGAAGUUGGAUACUGUUAAUUUCCUUGUUAAAAUCCCUUUGUUUUAAGCCUACUUUUUACUUAUCAUCUUUCAUAAUAUUUUUGCUGAUUUGUGCAGAAAGGCAUUGGAGGAAGGCAUUAGUGAACUUCAAUCAUUUUAUAUGCAUAAAAAGAGGUGCUAAUUUAUCUAUUUGCUUUUUACUUUUAAAUCAUAAUAAUAACUUGACAAUUGCUUCUAAUAAUUUAAUUCUAAAAAACCAUUGAUGUGGAGAGAGAGGCCUAUGAAGCCUUGAAAAUGGUUGUACUAUAUGCUCUGCUUUCUUCAUUUAAGCACUUACCUAUCAUAUCUUUAUAUAUAUUUAUGUUUUCUCUUAAUAUAUGCCAACUGAUUACUAUAUUAGAUGGUACCUGUGAUACUGACAGGCUUUUGGAGGUAUUCAAAUUCAUAAUAUUCAUUCAUGCAGGGCACUCUUUUAGCUGUUUGGAAUUCCAGCCAAAUUUGUUAUUGAAGGUCCAAACAGGAAAAAAAAGGAAGAUGCUUCAGAAUAUUUGGUGGUGAGGUUGAAGUUGAUGAAAUGUUUCAUUAUUUAUAUAUCAACAGCAAUAUACUGAACACACAUAUGUGCAAAUAUAAGGCUGAUAAUAAUGGGAUUUGUAACAUAUUCUAUGUUGGCAUUUGUAAUUUUCAGGUUCAUUGAUGCUUUUGGAAGAGUCGUUGUUCAAGCAUGGCAAUUGCCAGACAUAUUACAUUUGAAAAUUUAUGAUUCUACUUUACAUGGAGCUUUUUAAGAGCUUGAUUCAUAGUAGGAAAAUUAUCUGAGUAUUGAAUGUGAAUUUUCACUAGCAUAGCUAAAAUGAGUUGGAGAGAAUUUACUUCAUUGUACAAAAGUGAGAUUGCAUCAAGUGUUUGAGGGUUUAAGCUUAAAUAAUUUCAUUGUACUAUGAAGUUCAUAGUGGAUUCAUCUUUAGGCAAAGCCUCGCAGACGUAGGACAAGUUCCGAACUGCGUAAACAUCUUAAUUGUGUUCUUUAUUUUUCUUGUUGCAUAAUAUGUACCAACUCAAGAAAAAACACAUUUUUAAUGUUCCAAACAGUACUCAAAUGCAGGGAUGCACAAUUGAUUAUGAGACAAUAAUUGUUUUCGACGGUAUUCCAAGGAUAUGUUCAAUUAUAAUGCUUGGAUUAGGACCCUUCCAAAAGAUGUCGAUUUCCUGCCUGUAUAUACAUAUGACUUGUGUGUUGAUGCUUAUGUUGGCAUACAUUAAAUUACAAGUUGAAUAACACCUUGUUAUUUGUUCUUGUCGUUUAAACAAAACAUAAGGCUUUUCCUUUGGAAUCUCGAUGCGAUGAGGUACUGCAAUCCUCGAAAGGAAGGAAGGACAUGGGCAAUGGCAGGGGUGUUUCUUGGUGAGCUAAGGAAAUCAAUGUCUCCUAUGAGGAUUCUAGCCCAUCAAUUCCCUCUAUAUAGCAACAAUGAACCUGCAAACUAUAAAUAUCAAUAUACAGUAUGAUAAAAUUGAUGUCGUAUAGACCGAGCAGUGUCCAAAUGUAGAAGAAACACAUACCCUUACUAAAAACAUAACUCCAUAUUUUGUGCACAAAUGGUGGCCAAACACAAAUCCGUUGUCUAUGCUUUUUGAUUCCAAGUUUAAGAAAGGGCCAAACAUUGGGCAUCCUCAUCCUCAUCUGUAAUAGUAACAAAUUCACAUUCCCAUUAGUGUUUACACCUCAAAACUCAAUUCCAACUUGAUCAAAUUUACUUUCAAAACAUAACUUGAUUCAAGAUAAAAAUAAACUUGGACUUCUUUACCUAGCAAAAGAUGAACAUGAUUCUCAAAAAUCCAAGGUUUUCGAAGACGGACCAAUAGUAAAACUGAUCAGCGUGUAAAAGCCAUAACUACCGUGCUUGGUUUGGUGGAUAGUUUACAAGUUAUUGAAGGCCUUAGAAUCCAAACAUUACCAUAGUUUUCAUACCCUUUGAAAUCAUAAGCAUACCAUCUUCAUUCAAAUCACUGACAUGCCCAUUCUGAUUUGAAGUACAUCCAAGAAACCAAAAUAAAAAAUGAAAUAAUAGAAUUUCCCACUUAAUCUAAGAUUCAUCAAACUCUUGAUUUGGAAGAGAAUGAAUCUUCCAAUGAACUUGUGAGAUUUUCUAACAUUUUGAUUUAGUUUAGACAAUUCAAGUGUAUAAUUAAUCAAAAUUCUCCACUUCCUCCAGUACAACAAAAAUCCCUGCAUAAAGCAUCCAUCAAUUUUAUACCCUUCUAAAACUCAAAGAUUAAACUUCACACAAAUAAACUAAUACCAAAGAAGAAAAGAUAGUCUACAAAAGCAGAAAAGGAAAACCUUACCAAACUGGACUUAGGGCCCGUUCUCCUUUGCGAUAGAAAAAGACUUUUUCAAUAAAAAGUCAUUUUCUCUUAAAAGGAACGAAGAACGGCCUCCAUUUCGGAAAAAAAAUCGCCAUCGGAGAAGUCCUUUUCUCCAGAUGAAGAAGUUAAAAUUUUCUCCUUUUCUUCAGCCAAAAGUGCUUUUGGCUGAUAAUUUCCAUUUUUCUCCCCCAAAAACUGUUCUUCCCUCUGGUUCUUUGCCUGAAAUAUCAAGUUCUUUGCCUUUGUUUCUUUUCCUCAGGUUCAUUGAUGCUUUUGGACGGGUCGUUGAUCAAGCAUGACAAUUGCCGGACAUAUUGCAUUUGAAAAUUUAUUAUUCCACUUUACAUGGAGCUUAUUAAGAGCUUGAUUCAUGGUAGGAAAACUAUCUGAGUGUUGAAUGUGAAUUUUCACUUGCAUAGCUAAAAUGAGUUGGGAGAGAAUUUACUUAAUUGUACAAAAGUGAGAUUGCAUCAAGUGUUUGAGGGGUUAAGCUUAAAUCAUUUCUUUGUACUAUGAAGUUCAUAGUGGAUUCAUCUUUGGGAAAAGCUCCGCAGACGUAGGACAAAUUCCGAACUGCGUAAACAUCUUAAUUGUACUCUUUAUUUUCUUAUUGCAUAAUACGUUCCAACUUAGGAAAAAACACAUUUAUGUUUUUUUAGUGUUUCAAACAAUAUUCAAAUGAAGGGAUGCACAAUUGAUUAUGAGAAAACAAUUUUUUUAGACAGUAUUCCAAGGCAAUGUUCAAUUAUAAUGCUUGGAUUAGGACCCUUCCAAAAGAUGUCGAUUUCCUGGCUGUAUAUACAUAUGACUUGUGUGUUGAUGCUUAUGUUGGCACACAUUAAAUUAUAAGUUGAAUAACACAUUUGUAAUUUGUUCUUGUCGUUUAAACAAAACAUAAGGCUUUUCCUUUGGAAUCUCGAUGCGACGAGGUACUGCAAUCCUCGAAAGGAAGGAAGGACAUGGGCAAUGGCAGGGGCGUUUCUUGGUGAGCUAAGGAAAUCAAAGUCUCCUAAGAGGAUACUAGCCCAUCAAUUCCCUCUAUAUAGCAACAAUGAACCUGCAAACUAUAAAUAUCAAUAUAAAGUAUGAUAAAAUUGAUCUCGUAUAGACCGAGCAGUGUCCAAAUGUAGAAGAAACACAUACCCUUACUAAAAACAUAACUCCAUAUUUUGUGCACAAAUGGUGGCCAAACACAAAUCCGUUGUAUAUGCUUUUUGAUUCCAAGUUUAAGAAAGGGCCAAACAUUGGGCAUCCUCAUCCUCAUCUGUAAUAGUAACAAAUUCACAUUCCUAUUAGUGUUUACGCCUCAAAACUCAUUUCCAACUUGAUCAAAUUUACUUGCAAAACAUAACUUGAGUCAAGAUAAAAAUAAACUUGGACUUCCUUACCUAGCAAAAGAUGAACAUGAUUCUCAAAAAUCCAAGGUUUUCGAAACCAGACCAAUAGUAAAACUGAUCAGGCCACCAAUUCAUUGGUUCAACAGGUGCAAUUAAAUAAAUCAUUAAAAAAUUCAUAAAAAAUAAAAACCUGAUUCAACUGCCAGGUUCAACCAGUGUUUUGCCCAAUACAAUCAUCCAUACCGGUUCCUAGGUCAAUCAAUUCAAUGCCUUUCUCCGAACCAGGAUCCUAGUCCGGUUCAAAUAACCUUGACUAAACCUAAAAAACUAUUUAAGUUCGGAUUUCAAUUGGUAUUCACAAUUUUAGUUCAAAAAAGAAAAACCCUUAAUGUAAGCUUACAAACCACUCUAAGUCAGACAUUAAGAUAUUUAAAUUCGGCUUACUCAAUAGCCCAAAUUCCGCUAACAUUAGCAAAACCAAAACACGAAAUUCUCAACUGUAAAUAAGUUAGAGAUAAAUUUCAAUCAAAAAGUGAAAAAACAUGAAGGAAGCAAUAGAAGUAGAAAAAUUACUGGAUUCAUAUAAUCAUAUGAUUAUUUAUAGAUGCCAUUGGUCAAUACCUCAAAUAUACAAUGGACCGAUUUCGUACAAACAACAAGAUUGAUCCAAUGAUUAUCAUCACGAUGCACCAAUUCUACACAUCCACAUUUAGUAAGGCUGCUUUUUCAAUUUUGAUAUGUAAAACACUAAUGACUAAUUAAGCAACUCAGAUAAAGAAAAGGAUGUUGUUAAUGUGCAUAUAUAACCAGAUUAGAUAGACCAGAAUUCCGAUGCCGACACUUUUUAUUUCUAUAACUAAAACCAUGGGAUAGGAAAAAUAGCUCAACCCUGAAGAAAAUUGGAAUAACCCUAGCUGGCAUUUGUUCUGCAGAAUUUUGUCACGAAAAAUAAUCUUACCUAUUGAGUUGAUUUAAAAUCAGAAGAUGGCACUUCGGUCAUUCUAGAAGGUGGAGUUUCUGGCCUUGGUGUACGACCUCAGCCAUUCCAAAGUCUGAAUGAAGCGUAUCUACUCCGCUCCCUUCAACAGUUGUCAUUCUAUGAGUUAAGGAUUACACAUUCACCUGUUGGACCUCAGAAUGUAUAAAUAAGUUUGUGUGCUUUUUUCCUGCCUUUGGGGGGUUAAGCAGAUAGAUUAGCUAAAAUUUAUAGAAGGAUACAGUCUUUCAUCCACAUAUCCAUAAUGCUAAAAUCGGCAUCUGAUAGAAGCCAAUAAUCCGCAUCAUUCUGAAAACAAGGGCAAAAAAAGUUAAUAGACAAAAUUAUCAAUUUUGCUGCAAGAUGAAGUCCUAGGGGGAGAAGGUGUUUGAAUCUUGGACCUUACCCUCCUAAGAUGGGUAACCAAGGCUUCUAAUGAAUUAUUCCAGAUGACCUAAAUUCAUAAAUAAUCUUUGACAUGAACCACUGUCCAUAUAUAUGAUGUUUGUAAAGCUUGGCUAGUGUAAUAACUGGUCAAGAAAAAUGGCACUUACGUCCGUAUCCGACGGAACAAUUCUCAUCAUUCCCCCAACAGACUAUUGUGCAGCAUUUAUAUCAGAGCAGAUCUGAUGAGUUUGCUGUGCCUGUGGUUCAAUCUCCUUUCAGAUGCUCACUGUAUUGACCAACUCAACUUGGUUUUCAUUAGAGCCAGAACUUGAAGCAAGUGGGACACUCAGAGGUUGUUCAACACCAUUCAUCUCUUCAAAUUUCUCCUCAAAUUGGCUGAGGAAGCAACAAUGGAAAAGAAAGACAUUAAAACAACCUAUCUUCUUAUCAUCAAUUAAACUUAUUCCAAAGAACACCUGACUAGGUAAACAAAAAUCGGACCCAUUGUGCUUCUAAGGAAUAUCCCGUAUCUCCUUUGUCGGUAAUCAAAAUCCUGUAAUAUAUAGGAGCAAUGUGACAAUGCGUUUAAAUCAUGAAAGUGGAAAAUGGUAGUAAGUCAUUAAAAUUCUCUAUGGCAUCUUACUUCAUCAGGAUCAGGUACUUCGAGAGUUGUUCCAUGUGGAGCUUUAAUUGCUAUCAGGCUUUCAUUCUGCUAAAACCAAGGUGUCUUGAAGAUUAGUAUCAAAUGCAGAAUAUCAUUGCAGAAGUGUUAAUUUAGAAGCAUGAAAUAAACGAACCUGAAAACAAGGUAUACCCUUGAUGUCCUCUUCAGUCACAAAAAGCAACCUGAAACAGUGUGAAGAUAUGUAAACGUAUAAAUUUUUUGCAAACAAUUAGCAGUUAAACUUCCAUUAAUUGGAUCACAGUGCAAGGCAGACAAGAAAAUUGUACUUCCGAUUAUUGUCAUUCUCACUCAAAUCCCUAAACCUUUCCUGCAUUUCUCUGCAAUAUUUUAGAAGCAUCAGCAGUACUAAACAGGUUCAAGACAGUAACAGUUGCUACUUUAACAAGAGAAUAAGCCAUGCACAACCUUAUUUGAUCAUCUAAUCUCCUCUCUUCCAUGGAAAGGUUCUAAAUUUCCUCCUGCAUUAAAGAAUAGAAAUUAAGCUCAUAGGUAUGAGAAAUAAGCAGCACAAAUCAAUCAAUCAGGAGUGAUUGAAAAUUCUCUUGAAAGUCAUUACCAAAAAUAAAGAAACAGAAAACAUCCUAUUGAAGCAAUGGUCAGCAUAGCAAUCACAUGUUUUAUUAUUAUUAUUAUUAUUAUUAUUAUUAUUUGGAUGUAAUGAUGUAACUUAGUUGUAUUCCAACUAAGUUUGUUAGUGGUAGUAAGUGGUGAUUUAUUGAUGAAACUUAGUUGUAUUCCAACUAAGUUUGUUAGUGGUAGUAGGAGGUGAUUUAUUUUAAGUGGAUGUAAUGAUGAAACUUAGUUGUAUUCCAACUAAGUUUGUUAGUGGUAGUAGGUGGUGAUUUAUUUUAAGUGGAUGUAAUGAUGAAACUUAGUUGUAUUCCAACUAAGUUGUCAAGUUGUAAGCUUGUAUAAAUAGGCUUUAUGCCAUUUUAAAAAAAAUGAAUAAAUUCAAUCAAGAUUUCAUCCAUAUACUCUCUAUUUGUAUAAAUAGGCUUUAUGCCAUUUUGUUUCUGCCGCAAGUCUCGAUUCUUGCUCGGCAAGCUUUUUGUUGAACCUUGCUAUUUGUUGCACUUAGCUCCAACAAUUGGUAUCAGAGCCUAUUUCUUAAGGGAUCUGUUAUACAAAUUCAUGGCUUCAUCAAGCUUUUCACCAGCUGCACCUCAAGUCUUCAAUGGAGAAGGCUACCACAUAUGGGUGGUUAAAAUUAAGACCUACCUACAAGCUUUCGAUCUGUGGGAGGUAGUCAACUCAGAUGUUGAACCAGAGCCACUUAGAGGCAAUCCAACAGUGGCUCAAAUCAGGCAGCAUGCUGAUGAGAGGACCAAGAGGCACAAAGCCAUGUCUUGCAUCCAGAACUCAGUGUCAGAUGUGAUUUUUACAAGGAUUAUGGCCUGUGAAUCACCAAAACAAGCCUGGGACAAGUUGCAAGAGGAGUUUCAAGGGACAGAGAGGACAAGGCAGCAACAGUUGCUGAACUUAAGGAGAGAUUUCGAGAAUUUGAAGAUGAAGGAAGAAGAAACUAUCAAGCAAUACUCUGACAGGAUUAUGGCUGUGGUUAACAACAUUAGGCUCCUUAGAGAGCAGCUCAAGGAAGCUAGGAUAGUGGAGAAGGUUAUUGCAACUUUGCCCGAGAGGUAUGAGGCAAAAAUCUCAUCUCUCGAAGACUCAAGGGACCUGUACACCAUCUCCCUGACAGAGUUGAUCAAUGCUUUAUAUGCUCAAGAGCAAAAAAGAGCAAGCAGACUGGAGGAGCAUCAAGAAGGUGCCUUUCAGGCAAGAACAAACACUGCCUACAAAGGCAAGAAGGCCUGGAGAGACAAGCCAAGGACUGAUGUUGCAAGAAAAGAGGGUCAGACUUGCAAGCACUGCAGAAGGGCUGGUCAUCCAAAAGAAAAAUGCUGGUUCAAUUCAGAUGCUGUAUUUCAGCAUUGUAAAAAGAAGGGUCAUGUUGAGAGAGUCUGCAAGAGCAAGGCUAAAUCAAGGCAGAGUCAGUUUCAACAGAUGAAAGCUGAGGCUCGAGUAGCUAAGGAGGACAGUGACCAAGAGGAGCAAGUCUUUGCUGUGUUAUGCUCAGCUGCUCAAGAAAGGUUCUCAUCUGGUUGGCUUCUAGACAGUGGAUGCACCAACCACAUGACACCUGAUGCUGCAAUCUUCAAGUCUUUAGACAGAAGCUGCAGAACUAAAGUCAAGAUAGGAAAUGGACAUUUUAUUCAAGCUGAAGGCAAGGGUGAUGUGCUGAUAUGCACCCCCACAGGUGCCAAAGUGAUUUCAAAUGUGCUUUUGGUGCCUGAAAUUGACAGAAACCUGCUCAGCAUAGCUCAGUUGCUGGAGAAAGGUUAUUCUGUUGUGUUCAAAGACAACCAAUGCCAAAUCAAUGAUCCAAGUGGAUCCAAGCUGAUGGCAGUUCCUAUGGCUAAUAAGAGCUUUGUAGUUGACUAGACCAGGGAGUCAGACAUUGCCUACACAGUCACAUCAGAUGAAUCCAAGCUUUGGCAUCAAAGACUGGGACAUGCCAACUUCAGAUCGAUGGCUCGAAUGGUCAGAGAGGACUUGGCUGAAAACUUCAUCAACUCAGUGGAUCAUGAUGAUGUGUGUGAAGUGUGUCAGCUAGGAAAGCAGGCCAGACUCCCAUUUCCCUCGAAUCAAGCCUGGAGAGCCUCUGAAAAACUCCAACUGGUGCACACUGAUGUGUGUGGCCCUAUGAGGACUAAGUCAUUAAGUGGAAACAGGUACUUCAUACUGUUCAUUGAUGAUUUUUCAAGAUAUUGCUGGCUUUACUUCCUAAAACAGAAAUCAGAGGCGGCCUCAGUGUUUUGGAAGUUCAAGACUGCUGCUGAGACUGAAACAGGUUGCAAACUGAAGUCCAUAAGGUCUGAUAAUGGGACUGAGUACACCUCAGCUCAGUUCCAGGCCUUCUGUGAUAAGGCAGGCAUCAAACAUCAACUUACCAACACAUAUACACCUCAGCAAAAUGGUGUAAGUGAAAGGAAGAAUAGGAGUUUGAUGGAUAUGGCCAGCUGCUUGAUGAUUCAGAAGAAUCUGCCUAAAGCACUAUGGGCAGAGGCAGUUAACACUGCAAACUACAUUCAAAAUAGGCUUCCAACCAAGGCCUUGGAUCAGAAGACUCCAUUCGAAGCCUGGUUUGGAUUCAAGCCAUCACUGGCUCAUCUGAAGGUCUUUGGAUGCAUCUGUUAUGCUCAUGUACUUGCUGUCAAAAGGGACAAAUUGUCUGAAAGGGCUCGACCUGGUAUUUUGGUGGGCUACAGCACUGUUAAGAAGGGCUAUAGGAUCUUGGAUCCUUCAACAAAGAAAGUGUCAAUCAGUAGGGAUGUGGUAUUUGAUGAAAAGUCAUGUUGGAACUGGGAAAAACAUGAACCUGAGGAAGUUUCAGGAGGACUUGCAGCAGAUCAAGCUGAGCCAGAUCAAAAUGUUCCUGAAAUGGACAUUGAUGAUGAACCAGUUAGAGGAACAAGACCAUAGACUGAGAUUUAUGAAAGAGCUCAUGUAGCCAUAGCUGAACCAAGCAAUUUUGAAGAGGCUGAAGCUCAGCAAGAGUGGAAGCAGGCAAUGGCUGAGGAGAUUAGCAUGAUUGAGAAGAACCAGACCUGGGAAUUAGUUGAAAGGCCAGUCAAAAGGAAGAUAAUUGGGGUGAAAUGGGUGUACAAAGCCAAGCAAAAUGCUGAUGGUACCUUGAACAAACUGAAAGCAAGGCUAGUUGUCAAGGGGUUCAGUCAGAGGUAUGGCCUGGACUACCUGGAGACCUUUGCACCAGUGGCCAGGCUAGACACCAUCAGAUUACUGAUUGCCUUAGCAGCACAGCUCGAGUGGAAGAUCCAUCAACUCGAUGUGAAAUCAGCCUUUCUGAAUGGUUUCUUAGAUGAAGAGAUCUAUGUUGAACAACCACAAGGGUUUGAGAUAGCUGGCAGAGAGCAUAUGGUCUACAAACUGAAGAAGGCCCUAUAUGGUUUAAAACAGGCUCCAAGGGCCUGGUACAGCAGAAUCGAUGGCUACUUGACUAAUUUGGGAUUCGAUCGAAGCAAGAGUGAGCCAACACUGUAUGUCAAGAAGCAAGGGACACAAACACAGCUCAUUGUAUCCUUAUAUGUUGAUGACCUGCUGGUGACAGGAGGAGAUCGAGCAGUGCUGGUCGAUUUCAAGACCAAGAUGCAAGAAGUAUUUGAAAUGUCUGAUCUAGGGGAAAUGUCUUAUUUCCUUGGAAUGGAGGUGACUCAAGCACAAAAUGGGAUAUUUUAAGUCAGAGAAACUUUGCCACAAAGAUUCUGACCAAGUUCUCCAUGCAAAACAGUAAAGCAACUAAAACACCUGUUGCUGUUGGAGAAAAACUAUCGAGCCAAGGUGAUUUUGAGAAGGUUUGUGAAACAACCUACAGAAGUCUAGUUGAUUGUCUGUUAUAUUUAACUGCCACUAGACCAGACAUAAUGUAUGCUGUAGGAUUGCUCUCAAGGUUCUUGCAUUGUUGCAAUAAAAAACAUUUACAAGCUGCUAAGAGAGUGCUUAGAUAUGUCAAAGGCACUUUGAGCUAUGGUUUAAGGUACAGCAAGGAAGGAAAUCUGAAGCUGGUUGGCUACACUGAUAGUGACUGGGCUGGCUCGAUAGAUGACAUGAAAAGCACCUCAGGGUAUGCUUUCAACCUUGGUUCAGCCAUGUUUUGCUGGAGCUCGAAGAAGCAAAGUCUGGUGGCUCAAUCUACUGCUGAAGCAGAAUAUGUGGCAGCUGCAAGUGCUGUCAACCAAGCCAUUUGGCUAAGGAAAAUCUUAGCUGAUUUGAAAGUGCAUCAAAAGGAAGCUACUGAGAUCUUCUGUGACAACCAAUCUUCAGUUGCAAUUGCUAAAAAUCCAGUGUUCCAUGGAAGAACAAAGCAUUUCAGCAUCAAGUUGCAUGUUGUUCGAGAAAUGGAGCAAGCUCAGGAAGUGAAGCUGAUCCAUUGUAAUUCUGAGGAUCAACUUGCAGACAUUUUGACUAAAGCCCUUAAUGUCACAAGGUUCGAAUGUCUAAGAAGGAAGCUAGGUGUUUGCUCCAUGCAAACCAAGGAGGAGUAUUGAAGCAAUGGUUAGCAUGUAGCAAUCACAUGUUUUAUUAUUAUUAUUAUUAUUAUUAUUAUUAUUAUUAUUUGGAUGUAAUGAUGUAACUUAGUUGUAUUCCAACUAAGUUUGUUAGUGGUAGUAAGUGGUGAUUUAUUGAUGAAACUUAGUUGUAUUCCAACUAAGUUUGUUAGUGGUAGUAGGAGGUGAUUUAUUUUAAGUGGAUGUAAUGAUGAAACUUAGUUGUAUUCCAACUAAGUUGUCAAGUUGUAAGCUUGUAUAAAUAGGCUUUAUGCCAUUUUAAAAAAAAUGAAUGAAUUCAAUCAAGAUUUCAUCCAUAUACUCUCUAUUUUAGCUUUGCUUAAAAUUUAUUUCAUUUUUCUUCUUUGUUUCUGCCGCAAGUCUCGAUUCUUGCUCGGCAAGCUUUUUGUUGAACCUUGCUAUUUGUUGCACUUAGCUCCAACACAUCCUAAUGAACCAUAUCAAGAAAAUUGGUUGGCUGGAUGUCAAUGAAAUGAAAAUUGACAUUACUUUCACGUACCUGUAUUACAGAGACAUCGCUAUCUGUUUCUCCUGGCUUUGAAGCACCAACACGCCUAGGAAAUUUGAUUAAUCCUCAAAUAAGUCUCACAUUUUUCAAAGGUUAACCAGAAUGAAAACCAAAUUAAGACAUCAAAUUCUUGAAAAAUGAUUAACAUCAUCAGUAAUUACUUCCACUGUAUUCUGUUUUUUAACUUCUUUUCGAUAAGACCAAUGCCCUCCAAGACAUUUGUUAUAUCAUAUAUCCUCCUCUUCUGCACCUGUUACAACAUUUACAGGGAAAAAUAAAAGACAAAAGAACCCUUUAAGUAACAUGAAAAAAUACUCAACAAACACCCAAUGAUACAUAAGCUCACUAGUAUGUCACUACCUCCAAUGUUUCUGCAGCCUUAUUUAGGUCAAGGAUACCAUCUUCAGCAUGCUUCAUCAGAUUGACAAACUUUUUCGCCAAGGUAUUGAUGAUAGAGCCGUGAAGUGAACCAUAAGUUUCCUUCUAUGGACUAAGCCAGUAGGAAAUAGUAAUAUAGUAUCGCACCAGCAUUUGACACUGGUGUGUGAGGCAUUGAUUUAUUGGCUUUUGAUGUCUUUGAUCUAUUAUUUAUCCUUCCUCCUUUAGCAUAUACAGGUGUCUGGAAAGGACUGUUGGAUAUGCUGGUAACCCCCAGACUGCUUGUCCAUUGGCUAGACUCAACAUCAUUUUUGUCUGCUGCACUCUUCCUUUUUAAUUGCUGAGAAAAAUCAGCAAUAUUUCAAAGUACUGCCAAUGGCAGGCAAAAUUACAAGGUCCCUUAGUAUUUGUGCACGGUUAUAUCUAAAUUAACAACCAAUUGAAUUGAAGAAAAUAAAAUAAAAAAGAGCAUAAGUUUAACAAAUGCAUAUGUACGAGAGCUUGUACAAGAAAACUUACUGUUAGCCAUAAGAACCAUCAGAAAUGUUUCGCUACUUGAUUCAAAAGUUAAUCCACAAAGGCCAAAACUCAAAGAGAUAAAUGCCAUGAAAAAUCAAGUAAAGUAACUAGUAAUUCACUUGUUAUCGCGUUGAAGACAAUAAAGAAAAAGAAUAUAAUAUAUGAAUAUAAUUUUGUCCGGAAAACUAGCAGAGCAGUCGUAUUAUACAUAAGGGGGGAAACUAUAGUGAUAGACAUUAUGGAUAUCAACUGAAUCGUUUUUCAAACAUCCAUCAAAAGACAAAACAUCAAAAGAACUAACACCCAUUAAGCUUUCUUCAUGUAGAGCAUGAGGCCAGCAUUCAUUCAAUUUCAACUUAGUACAGCAAACGAGCACUUUAAUCUACCAAAACUCCACUAUAUCAUCAAAUACAUCAUCACAAACGGAAAUACCUCACACAUUAAAAUACAGACAUCACAAUUUCACUGCAGAAACAAAUAAUGCUACUCAUAAUUUAUCCCCUAAGAAACUUAGCCACCAUGAAAAGCUCUAUUCGUGAACAGAUUGAAAGAUCACACACACAAAAAAAAGAAAAGAAAAGAAAAGAAAAAGCAAAUGACAUGAAGCGUUAAGUGAGAGUACAAUUCUCAUCAAAAUUGAAAUAAUAUACUACUAAUUACAUGACAGCCACCGUUUUCAAAAGAGAAUUUUUAAACUCACUGGAGAUCUCACAACAAUUGCUCCAACUUCUUGAUCGGCGACGAUUCCACGACUAUUACUAGAUGAAAAUCUGUGAUAAUCAUCGGGAUGAACAAACGGCGGCUUCGUCGAAUCGAAGGCCAGGUGACGACGUAUCGGCGUAACAACCGGAGGAACCGUCGAAGCUGGUAGCGUUGAAGCCGUAGGAGGAGGUUGAUACGGCAGCGUGAGACCAUCCCGGACAUGGAGGUUUAAGUUCAGACAUUAGAGAGAGUAGAAAAGGAGGGAAAAGAGAGGGAAUCUUUUGUAUAUAAUUAUAAGUUAAUGUGCUAAUUUCAUUUGUUUUUACCUUUUUGAACUCUUACUUUUUUCAAUUUUUCAAUUUCAUCCUAAAAUAAAAUUCAAAUACAUAUAUAAGGGUUGAAGUACCGGUAUUAUAAUUAUAGGGACUGCAUACAAAUUAGUUCCUCUAUCGUUAAAUGGUUAAUUUAUUAUCUGUACUAUUAAAAUUGAUCUAUUAAUGUUAAAUCUCUUAAAAUUUAACCUUAUUUGGUUCCUUUUAGUAGUAGUAGAAUAAAAUUAGUUCAUUUAAUAAUAGAGGGACUAAUUUUAAACUUUCCAAAUAUUUAACCCUUAUAUAAGCUAAAAUAUUAUUUUUUUUAAAAAAUUAAUCAAUAGACUUGUCUAUAAUAUUAUUCUUUUAAUAUUAAAAAUUAAUAAUUUAGUAAUAUUUAUAUAUUUUUUAUUAUCUUGUUAAAUAAGUAAUUUAGUGAGUUUGAAUAUUGUAGUGGUGAGAUUAAAUUUAAUUGUGGAAUAUGUAUUUCAAUUCAAAUGCAGAUGUAGCAAUGAGAUAAAAAUAGAAAAUUACUAUUAAGAACAUUAAGUUAAAACGUAUGUAUAUGUAAAAUAAAUAAUUAAUAAUAUAUUUAAAAAUAAAAUAUUUUAAAUAAUAAUUAAAAAUAUCAAAACUAUGUUUAUAUUAAAAAAAUAAUUAAAGUUAUAUUUUAUAUUAAAUUAAGAAUUAUAUGUUUUAAUUUUUUUGUUAAAUUAGUAGUUAAAAUCACUAAAAAAUUUAUUUCAUUAUUAUUUACUUUCAAACUUUUAUGUUUGAAUUUGUUAUUGUUGCACUAUUUUAAUUAUGUACCACAAUUUGAAUAAUAUUAUUUUUGCAUUAAUUACAUAAAAUAAAAAUAUAUUAUUCAGUGAAUAAAAAAUAUAUAAAAUCACGUAUAAUAAUAUUCAAUGAAUAAUAUUAUUUUUCUCUUUAUUUUCCUUAUCAAAACACAACUAAUUUUCAAUAAUGUAACAAGGUGAAAGCCUAAUUCCAAGCAUUCAAAUAAACUAUAUAACUAUAAGAGAAGAAAUGUAGCCAAAUUUGGAAUUAAAAUUUUCAAAAAUUUUAAACAGCUUAAUGAGAAUUUCAAUAAAAGGGUCUAAUUAAAAUUUAUAAAACUAUUAAAGGGUUUAAAUAAAUUUAAAAGAAAUUGAGGAGUCUAAUUAAAAUUUUUUUUAAAAAUUGAAGGCUUAAUGAAAAUUUUCCAAAUUUAGGGGGUGGGGGCAAGGGGAGCUUUGGCUCUUGUUACGUUUUGUCCCAAGUAAUUUUUUUUAAGAGAGAUCUAUUAAUUCAUUCAAUAAAUAAAUGAACAAUUCAAGAAAAAAAAUAUCAAACACUCGUACGCCCUAAAGAACAAGCUCCAUCAAUAUAAUAAAAACUUCAGCUUCAGCAUCAAUAGAACAUUAUGGCACGUUGACAAUGGGCUCUGUCACAACUCAAGCACAACAUAUCAGAAGCGAUUACAAGCACUUAAUACAAUAAGAAAAUCAACCCUAGAUGGUCCAAAGCGGCGAGCAUAAAUCGGCAAAAGAACCAAGCAUCUACCAAACUAGAGAAGACAAUGACUAAACCAACCCUAAAAGUAUUUGCAAAACCAAAACUAAAUGCAUAAUAAAGACUAAAAAGCAUAUUAUAAGAGUAGGCAAAACUUUUAAAAGUGAAUACUCAUUAAACAAUAAAAAAUAAAUAAAAACAUAUAAAACGUAAGAUAACACGAGUCAUGAAAUCAUUUAUUAUUUUGAAACUCUCAAAACAGAAACAUAUUAAGAAGUCAACGAAGAGCUACCUACUUUCUAAAAGAAACUAUCGGUAGUUGAUGGUAUUUCAAACGAUGAAAGGCACCGUCAUCUAUCCAUCCCAACUUGUGAAGACAACAAAAAUAACCACAAAUAGAUCUGUAAACUGAAAGAAAGAUAAGAUGCAUGGAAUAAAUAAGAAGAAGAAAGAAAAGAAGGGUUUAUGUGUAGAAAAAACAGGCGGGCGGUAGCUAACCCGUUCUGCCCCUGAGUAAUUUUUGAAACUAUACAAAUCAUACUUAAUUAUAAUUAUAUGUUUUUGUAUUUAAAUCAAAUUAGAUUGCAUUAAAAAAACAAUUUAUGUAAGGUUCGAUUGAAUUAAUGAAAAUUUGAAAAAGAAAAAAAAAAUUCUCAAGAAACAUUACAUGGAAAUGUAACUUUUUUAAUCUCUAAAAUUGUAUUGCUAAGUGGACCUUAAUCGAAGAUGCAAGAAUUAAAGAAAUAAGGUUUAAAUUCUGUCAUAGAAAUUCUGAAAAAAAAUUAACCUUAAUGUAUCGAAAAAUAAUUUCACAAUUAUCUAGAAAUUGCAAACAUUUAGAUUUUGUUCACAUAUUAAUUGCAUUUUUUUUUCUAUUUCCUCCUAUUUACUAUAACAAAAUUAAAAUCCCCCAAGUCCUAUAUUUUUUUUGUAAAUUUAGAAUUUAGUUUGUAUAUUUUUAUUUUUAAGAAUUUAGUCAUUAUACUUUUUAAAUUUUAAAAUUCAAGUUCAACUGGUUAAAAUUAUUUUAUUAAAUUCAGGUUCAUUAAAAUGUCAUAUUCUUAGUUACAUGGCUACCAAGUAAGUAAAAUUUUUUUUUAUUUCAAACUGUCACACUAACAAAUUCAACAAAAAAAAAUUAACAGUACUAACAAUUGGACCUGAAAUUUGAACUCUAAAAAGUAAAAAAAUUAAAUUCCUAUAAGUAUAAGUAUAAAGACUAAAUUUCAAAUUUAUAAUGAGUACAAAGACAUAUGACAUAUUUUAACUUUAAAAAGGGUAACCUACUUUAGUAGUCACCCAAUUAAGUUUUUUUUUGGUCACUCAAUUAUGAAAAGUUACAAAAUAGUUACCAACGAUUCAAUUUUAUCAUUUUUAUCAUCAGUUGGCUAAUGAAAAUAUAGAAAACACCAAAAAUCCAAGAUAAUUGGGUGAAAAAAAAUGAAAAAAUAAUAGUUUAUUGAAUAUUUUGUAAUUUUUCAUAAUUAGGUAAAAAAAUACUAAUAAUUUAGUGAUUAUUUUGUAACUUUUAAAUAAUUGAAUGACUUAACGACGUCAAAUAGAAGACGAGAAAACAAAUUUAAAACAAAGAUAAACAAAAACAAUGUACUUAACGACGUUAUUUUUUUCUUCUCCAACCAAAACGCUGUCGCUUUGAUCUCCAAACGUAAUAUAAGCCGGACACCUUACAUCAAUAUGCUACCUCCCAGUUACUGCAGGGGACCAUUCAGAAAUUUGUGUCAAACAACGUUAAACAUGGUGGGACCAUUUCCAACCAAACAACAUUAUUUUCAUUUAAUAAUAAAUGUGUUAUUUGUAUUAAAUAUUCUCAAUUUAUUAUUUACUUUUAAAAAAAUUAAUUUAUAAAUUCUAAAAUAUUUUAAUUAAGUUUUGAAAGUAUUAAUAUUAUAUCAAUAAAAUUAUUUCAUUUUUAUAGUUGUCAAUUUAGCUUUUUAAAUCUCACUUCAGAUUUGACAUGAAUUAAAUUGUAAAUACUUGCGUACUCAUCAUAUUGAUAACUUGAUUCUAACAUAUUAAAAACACGAUGAGAUUAUAAAAUUUAAGAGGAUUAUUUCUUUUUUUUAACACAUUAGAUUCAAGUUGUCCGUAUAACAUGUACACACGUGUUUUAAGUAUGUCUCCUAUUAUAUUUGAGCGAACAUUUAAUGCUCAAGCUAACGGCUAAGUUAAUAGAAAAAUGGGAUAAAUCUCAAAACUAUAUAUAAACUUUGGCAUAAUAUGUAAUUUUAUACAUGAAAUUUCAAUUUAAUUAAAUUUUCACAAAUUAUUAACACAAUUAUUAAUAUAACAUCAUUUUAUGUUUAUAUAUUGCAUAAACAAAUAAUUAUGUUUAUCCACAACAAAAAUAAAUUGAUGUAUCUAUUUAUUUAAAUAUGUAUGGUUGAAUCAAAAUAAAAAUUUAUGUAUAAUUUUAAGAUUUAUCUCUAGAAAAAUCAAAUUGGUAUAAUUAUGAUAUCUUAAGAAUUCAAUUAGAAUGUUAUUUGGGUUAUAAUUUGCGAAUGUAUAGUGCAAGCAAUCAUUUUAUAUGUUUUAAUUUUAUUUAUCAUCUUAUUUUAAAGGAAAAUUAUUUCAUUCAUUACUAAUAAAGUUUAAAAAUUAAAAAAAAUAGAGUUAAAUGGAUAACACAUACCAAUUUAAAGUGAAGUAAAAUAAAUUUUUAAUGAAACUUGUGAUAUUAAAAUUUUUCAUUGAAAUGCUAAACUUAUUUAAAUAUAUAUUUUUUAGAGUUAAUGCACUAUUUGGACAUGAACUUGACAAUUGUUUUCAUAUUAGAGCUUGAACUUUUUUGUUUCAAGUUAGUCCCUCAAUUUGGAGAUUGUUUUCACGUUGGGGUCUUUUUUAUUUUUUUGGUUCAAGAUAGUCAUAUUUCUUUUAAAAAGUAUUCAAGACUACAAUAUGAAAACAAUUACAAAAUUUAGAAAUUAACUUGAACAAAAGAAAAGUCUAAGCUAUGGAACGACUUCCUAUUCUAAGCCUGUUUUGGUGUAGUGAAUAUGACAAUAAUUACUAAGUUCAAAAAUUAACUUGAACAAAAAAAAAUUCAAACCUCAAAGGGAGAAUCGUUGUCUAAUCUAAGCCUCAUUGUGGGAAUAAGUGUCAUAUUCAAAGAUUAACUUGGAUAAAAUAAUUUAAACCUUAAUAUAAGAACAAAUACAAAAUUUAGACCGCAAAUAGUGUUUGAAUUUGUUAUUUUCUUUUGUUUGCCUAAUCAAUUUUACAAUGCGAACUGGGGGUGGCUUUUAAUUUUGAGGUUUACAAAGUAGAAAAAAAUACAUUAUUUUUCUAUUGAAAUGUGUCGUUGACAUUAAGGGAGGGUUAGAUUCUUGUAAGUGAGUAUUUAAUAAUGAGGAAAAACUUUUUGGAUCCACAUCUGUGUUUCAUCUUGUUCCAAUCAUUUUCAUUGUCUUCUCUUGCAGUAAUCAAACACUUUUUGCUUUGAUUUCAGUUUGAACCAAUAAUGGCCAAAGCAAUUGCUUUCGACAUCGCCACAGAGCUCAUUACUAAGUUGAGCUCUCGUCCGCUCUCUCAAGUUGGACUAUGCUGGAAUCUCAAACAUGUCAUCGACGACCUCAAACGCAUUGUUCGUACAAUCAAAGCUGUGCUUCUUGACAUAGAAGAGAAAUUGGUGACCGACAAUCUCGUUAAAGUUUGGCUUGAAGAGUUGAAAGAUGUACUUUAUGAUGUUGACGACUUGUUCGAUGAUUUCUCUACCGAAGCUUUGCAAAAAGAUCUUAUAGGUGGGAACAAGCUAACAAAAGAGGUACGCCUUUUCUUCUCAAGCUCAAACCAGUUUGCUUACGGUCUUAGAAUGGGUCGUCAAAUUAAGGCCAUUAAAGCGAGGCUAACUCUUUUUAGAAGGGAGGCUAACAAUUUUGGCUUUAUGGUGUGUGACAGCUCGUGUCUUAGGCCGUGUAACUUUUGAAAUAGGGACACAUAGUCGUGUCCCAGCCCGUGUUCGUGUAACUCUCUGACUUGGGUCACACGGCCAAACCACAUGCCCGUGUGUCAGGCCGUAAAACUCUCGAAAUGGCCUCACAAGCCCGUGUGCCAAGCCGUGUGUUAGGCCAUGUAACAGCCUAACUUACAACCUAUAGGGGACACACGGCUGAGACACACGCCCGUGUCUUAGGUCGUGUGGACAAGAAAUUGACCAAAAUCAAGCCUUUUCCUUCACCAACCUCAAGUAUGUACCUAAUCACAUUUGCACAUAUGACCAAGGCAUCAAAACCUACUCAAAACAUACAUAAAAAUGACUAAUUCACUAUACUAUUAAUCCAUACAACCAAUAUGCCAAUAAGACACCUCAAUCUCAAACCAUCAAACAUACUUAAACAUGUGCAUAUUUGACCAUUCAUCAACCAUUCACCAACAAUUCACAUCUAACUUAUUUCCAUACCAAAACUUAUCACAAUUGACCAUAGUGAAACUAUAUCAUUAUAUACCAAAUUGGUCAUUCAAAACAUGCAUCAACCUAGCCAUAUUAACAUAAACCAUCAAUGCAUCAAAGUACCAAAAAUACCACAACUCAAAGAAACAUUUACAUACCACAAACAUCAACUAACCCUUAGAUAUAAGUUCAACUAUACAUGCCAUUAUAACCUUAACCAACACAUCAAAAUCCACCGAUAUAUAAUUGCUGGGUAGUGUGGUAGGUCUCCGACGAGCUUCCAAACCGAUCGAGCUUCUAAUAAUCUAUAAAACAUAGGAAAGAAAACUAUGUAAACAUAUAAUGCUUAGUAACUUCGUAAAUCAUGAACAUAACUUACUAUUUCAACGCAAAACCUUAUAAAAUAGACAUGAAUCAAUCCAACAUAAGCUUGGCACAAGCUUAAGCAUCAUCAACAACACAAGUUAGUGCUUUAACACAUAACUCAACAAAAUCAUCGCAUGGUAAGAUAUAAUACAUGAACAGAGCACCAAUUAAUUCAUACUUUCCAUAAUCAUGAAUAUAAAUACAUUGAUUUCUAACAAUGUAUUUGUUAAUAUGCUUAUGUGUGUGAUGUGUUUAGGGUAUGUGGAAUAUAUUUGCAUAAUCUGAUACUGAUAGUUCUCAUGGUAUGUCCUGGUUCGCUAUGUCUAUAUAUGUCCGUAUGAUGUGUGAUUAUGUUAAUUUGUAUUUCGAAAUCGGCCAUAUGACCAUGCAUGUGACAUUGUGGCUUUUCUGUUAAGGUGAUUUAUAAUUAUGAUAUAUCUAUAUACAAAGUAUGAAAUCACAUGCUUACUGAUUUUUGUUAAGAAUAUGAAUGCAUGUUCAAUAUGCUUAUCAUUCUAUUUCAGUUUAUGCAUGCCACGUCACAUUGCAUGGGGUUAGGAUAUUAUGGUAUGGAGAAAGUGUCAGCAGUUUAAUCAUCUACAUUAUCUGGUGAUUUAUUUACAUUUCUGUUUACAUUUAUGAUGGCUCGACCACACACAUAUGUUGUUUUGACAGCUUGGCUACAAUAUAGUGGCUUGUCUACAUAUAUUCGAUCUGAUAGUUUUAACUGCAAUCUCUGGUGGCAUUGACCAAAAUUAUUAUGUUGGUGUGAUUAUAUGGAUGAGUUUUGGGGAACUCUAUUUGGUGUGUACCGGAGUUGGGCAGGAUGUUUUAUAUAUAUAUAAAAAAAACCAGCAUUACAUUUUUGGAAAAAUAUUGCAUUGGCAUAAGCACGCAUUCUCAGUUUUGCUCAAAUCAUCGUUAUGAAAUUCUCUGUGAUCCUGUGAAUUGUUGGAUGUGUUAUUUGAGUUCUAGGUUUGAGUUUGUUACACACUGAGCUUUAUGGCUCACCCCUUUGUUUAAUCUUUGACUUUUAAGGUAAUCUUUGAGUUUGGGAUCGGAUGGCGUGCGGGAGCUCGGAUUGUUUUCUCGAUUAAAUAAAUAAGAUUGCUUUUCUGGACUUUUUGGACUGUAAAGUUAUUUUUGGACUGGGUUUUUGGUUAUCGUUCUUUUUGUUGGAUUUGAUAUUUUUAACAUUAGACUGCAUAAUCGUAAGAGUUAUCAAACUAAAAUUUUGUUUUCAAAACGAAGAAAUCUGAAUUUUCUGCUGCAACGAUUAAGUAAUCACGUAUUUUUCUGUAAACAAAUAUAUGGUUUUUAACAAAUGUUUGCCUUAGUAUUGGAAAUGAUCUGCCAACAUUAGUACUUUCAAAACAUGCAAUUUUGAAUUCAAAUUCUGGGUUUUAAAUAGGUGUUUUCAGACUUUGGUUUUUCUAAACAUCUAUGAGAGUUUUGCCAAUUUUUAUGUUUUCGAAACAUGCACUGAGUUUGAUUAAAACAAAAGUUUUUGAACAAGUUGACGUAAAUAUUCCUCAAUAUCUGUUUAUAACUUUUAUGUCGGGUUUAAGUUGUUACACAAUUACUCAUCCUUGCUAUAACCUUAUAACGUUGUCAUUAAAAAAUUGGGGUUGUGAUACUUUUUCAAUUAAGUUUUACUUUUAUAGGUGUUGACAGCCUAAUAGAUAAUUUUUUAGUGGACUUAUUCUUUGACAUACGGGUGAAAUAAUUAUCUCAACUUGGUAAACAAAUUUGGUUUUCAUUUUACUUUUUGGUUUUAUUGGAAGCUGUUUCAAGGUUUUGUUCAAUCAACGGUUGUAAUCCUUCUUUGAACGAGAGAGAAUUUGAAACAGAUUGAAGUGUAGACUUGACAUAUUUUAAUUUAAGCAAGCAGUAUGAUAAUUUUUAGGUGUUUGGGGUUUUUCAUUUCUCUAGGGGCAUGGUUUUGAGGAUGAAAGAUGAUUUUAUUAAGAGAGGUUAUGCUUUACGAUUUGUUAUUAGUUUUAUGAUUUGUUAUUAUAUUUUAGUUGUCAUUUAUUUCGUUUAGGUGAGAUUUAAUUUAAGGUGUUUUGGGUAUAAGUAAGGUGUGCUAUUAAUUAUAAUAUCGUUAUCUCAUUAGGGGUUUCGUAUGUAUAUAAACAAUCAAUUAAAAAUUAAAAUUUAUCUAACAAAGCAGUCAUAUCUUGUUAAUUGUUUAACUUAGAUGUAUUACUUUAUUUUGAAAACUUAACUGAAAAUAUUAAUUUUAAUAAUAAAUAAAAUGGCACUACUGUUAAUAAUAUAUAUUAACACAUUUGAUAACCUAUAUAUAUGUAAGUAUAUAUGUAUGUACACCUUGUAAAAACAUGAUUAUAUAUAAACGAUAACACAACGGUAACAUCUAGAAUAUAGAAUUUAUCAACGGUUAUUAGCCUUAUGUUACCAUACAUAUAUAUAUAUAAUGAUGCUAAAUUUAUAAUAAUAAAAUAUCUCCCCAAAACAACUCAUAAACACCAUUAGUAUUAACAAUAAGAAAGUUUAACUAAUGAAAAAAAGUUAUAAUAAUCAUGUCACUUUGUGUGCCAUGUGGUGAACCCAUGUGGUCAUGUCCGACCAAUUAACAUUACUUUUUUUUUAACAUACUAAUCCUAAGAAAACAACAAAUUUCUUGAUAAAAAGUUUUAUCGAAUUCGACAACAAAAAUUAUAAAUAAAGACUCUCCCUUAAUUAAUUAAGUUUUUAAUAUAAAAUGAAUACUUUUAUAUUGUUCCACAUCUGUGUUUCAUCUUGUUCCAAUCAUUCUCAUUUUACUCCUCUUGCAAUAACCAAACACUGCUUUGCUUGAUUUCUGUUUGAACCAGCAAUGGCCGAAGCAAUUGCAUUCAACCUCGCCCUAGAGCUUAUUACUAAAUUGAGCUCCUUUACUAUUGGAACCCACCCAUUGUUUGAAAAGUCAAAAAGGGUGGGCACCGAAAGUAGAAAGUAAAAUUGGUUGGCAAGUUGGGUUAAAAGUUGGCAUGGGAUAAUUGCAAUUUUGGUCCCUAAUUGUAUAGGGACAUUGCAAGUUGAUCCUUGAACCUCAACUAUAAAUAGGCCUAACCAUUUCUUACUUUCUUCAUCCCACACUUGCCAUUCUCUACUUAAGGCAAUUGUUCUCUCUCCCUAUUUGUAAACUUUCACUUGUAUUUUUGGAGUGAAAUAUAUUUGGUAGUGCCCGAGGACGUAGGCAAAAUUUGCUAAACCUCGUUAAAAUUCUAGUGUUCUUUAUUGUUUAUUCUGCAUAUUUUGCAAGUGUCAUUGUAGUGAUUUAUUGUGCUAUUAAAUUACGAUAGAGGGAUAUUCUGGCUAGGAAAGAUCUGGUAUGUAAGCGAUCCUCGUGAUCCACCUCUCUUUCCUGGGAAUUGAACUUAGUGUGAUUUUUCAGUACAAUAAUUUUACUCUUUCACACGCUUCCGCGCAACAAUUGGUACCAGAGCCAGGUUCGUACUUGGGGAAUACGAUCGUUUACGGUACUAUUCACGUAUACUGCACUAUUCACGUAUAUGGUACUAUUCACGUAUACGACACUAUUCACAUAUACGGUACUGUUCACGUAUACAGUAGUUGGGAUUGAGGAGAAAAAUGGCAGCAGCAUCGUCAUCAGCAAGGACUACUGUGACAAAUGCAAAAUUUGAAGUAGAGAAAUUUGACGGUACCAAUAAUUUUGGUAUGUGGCAAUGUGAGAUCUUGGAUGUCUUAUGUCAGCAAGAGCUAGAUAUAGCCCUUGAAGAAAAACCUGACAAGAUAGAUGACAAGGAGUGGGCCAAGAUCAAUAGACAGGCGUGUGGUACAAUCCGCCUAUGUUUGGCCAAAGAACAGAAGUACUCUGUCAUGAGGGAGACAUCAGCGAAGAAGUUAGGGGAUACACUGGAAGAAAAGUUUCUAACGAAAAGUCUUGAAAAUAGGCUUUAUAAGAAAAAGAAACUUUAUCGAUUCACGUAUGCACCCGGUAUGUCGAUGAAUGACCAUGUGAACUCAUUCAAUAAAAUUUUAGCAGACUUGCUAAAUUUGGAUGAGAAAUUUGAAGAUGAAGACAAGGCAUUAUUGUUUUUGAAUUCCCUUUCUGAUGAAUAUGAUCAUCUUACCACCACAUUGCUUCAUGGGAAGGACACGAUCACAUUUGAUGCAGUCUGUAGUGCGUUGUAUAGAUCUGAGACUCGAAAGAAAGAUAAAAGAGAUCACAGAGAUACAACCGCAGAAGUCUUAACAGUAAGAGGUCGUUCACACAGCAGCAAAUCUGGUAGAAGGGGAAAGUCCAAAGGGAGACCCGCCAAAGAUGAAUGUGCCUUUUGCCGUGAAAAAGGGCAUUGGAAAAAGAAUUGUCCUAAGCUACAAAAGGGCAAGGCUAUUUCUAAUGCAUGUGUAGCGGAGCAUGAAGAGGAGUCAGACUUUAGCUUGGUUGGCAUGGCAAUGGCAUGUCAAACGGAUGAGUGGAUUUUGGAUUCAGGAUGUACUUACCAUAUGUGUCCUAAUAAGGACUGGUUUUCUAGUCUUAAAGAGCUAGAAGGUGGAAUUGUUCUUAUGGGCAAUGAUAGUGCUUGUAAGACAAUGGGAGUGGGUACAGUCCAAUUGAAGAAUCACGACGGCUCAAUCCAAGUCUUGACAGAUGUUCGCUACGUACCUAGCCUGAAGAAAAAUCUCAUCUCAUUAGGGGCCCUAGAAUCUAAAGGGCUCACAAUCACUUUGAGAGAUGGAUUACUAAAAGUAGUAGCUGGGCAACUGACGGUGAUGAAAGGCACAAGAAGAAAUAACUUGUAUUUUUUAAAUGGAAGUACAGUUAUUGGAUCAACAUCAACAGUUUCUACAAAAGAUGUAGAUUCAGAGGCUACCAGAUUAUGGCAUAUGCGAUUGGGACAUGCUGGUGAAAAAGCUUUGCAGACAUUGGUGAAGCAAGGCUUAUUGAAAGGUGCAAAUUCUUGCAAAAUUGAAUUCUGUGAACAUUGUGUUCUGGGCAAGCAGAAGAGGGUAAAAUUUGGUCCAGCAAUUCACAAUACGAAAGGAAUUCUGGACUACGUUCACAGUGAUGUGUGGGGACCUACCAAAGUAGCUUCUUUAGGAGGUAUGCACUAUUUUGUUACUUUUGUUGAUGAUUAUUCAAGAAAAGUAUGGGUGUAUCUAAUGAAAAGAAAAAGUGAAGUUUUGGAUGCAUUUCUGAAAUGAAAGAAGAUGGUGGAGACUCAGACUGGUCGAAAGGUCAAAUGACUUCGAUCAGAUAAUGGUACUGAGUACAAAAACGAUCCAUUUCUACAAGUAUGCCAAGAUGAGGGCAUUGUGCGACACUUCACUGUUCGGGAUACACCACAGCAAAAUGGGGUGGCAGAACGAAUGAAUCGAACUAUACUGGAGAAAGUUCGAUGUAUGUUGUCCAAUGCUGGAUUGGGCAAAAAAUUUUGGGCUGAGGCAGUUACAUAUGCGUGCCAUCUAAUUAACCGUUUGCCAUCAGCUGCAAUAAAUGGAAAAACUCCUAUGGAGAUGUGGACUGGUAAAUCUGCUACUGAUUAUGAUUCUUUGCAUGUAUUUGGUUCCACUGCAUAUUAUCAUGUAAAAGAAUCUAAGUUAGACCCAAGAGCAAAGAAAGCAUUAUUCUUGGGUAUAACUGAUGGAGUAAAAGGAUAUCGUCUCUGGUGUCCUGAUACAAGGAAGAUUGUUUUCAGUAGAGAUGUGACUUUUGAUGAAUCAACCAUGUUGAAGUACAAGGAUUCACAAAAGGAUGACAAAACCAGUAGUACUUUGCAGCAGGUGGAGCUUGAAAAGGUUAACGAUGAUCCAGCUAAUAUUGAAGGGACAAAUGAUGAAGAGGUUCCUACCCAAGAACCUCUACAGCAACAAGAUUCAAUUGCAUAUAGAAGGCCAAGAAGAGAGAUUCGUAAGCCUGCUCGCUUUGAUGAUAUAGUGGCCUAUGCACUUUCAAUUACAGAUGAUGAUGUUCCUUCUACUUACACAGAAGUAAUAAGUAACCCUGAUGGUGUAAAGUGGAAGCAAGCAAUGAAUGAAGAAAUGCAGUCUCUUCAUAAAAAUAAGACCUGGGAGUUGGUGACACUACCCAAGGGAAAGAAGGCAAUUGGAUGCAAAUGGGUAUAUGCAAAGAAGGAAGGAUUUCCUGAUAAAAAUGAAAUUCGAUACAAGGCUAGAUUAGUAGCAAAGGGUUACGCUCAAAAAGAAGAAAUAGACUACAAUGAAGUGUUUUCUCCAGUUGUGAAGCAUUCGUCUAUUCGAAUUUUGCUAGCCUUGGUUGCGCAAUAUGAUCUUGAACUAGUUCAGCUUGAUGUGAAGACCGCGUUUUUACACGGUGAUUUGGAAGAGGAAAUCUAUAUGACUCAGCCAAAUGGAUUCAAGGUUGCUGGAAAAGAAAAUUGGGUUUGCAAACUGACAAAGUCGCUUUAUGGAUUGAAGCAAUCUCCGAGGCAGUGGUACAAGCGAUUUGAUCAGUUCAUGAAAGGGCAAAGGUACACAAGAAGUAAAUUUGAUCAUUGCGUGUAUUUUCAGAAGCUACAAGAAGGAACUUUCAUAUACUUGCUCUUAUAUGUUGAUGAUAUGCUAAUAGCAUCUAAGAGCAAAGUUGAGAUUGAAAGAUUGAAGACUCAACUCAAUCUCGAAUUUGAGAUGAAAGAUCUAGGAGAAGCUAAAAAGAUUCUCGGCAUGGAAAUAUGGGGAGAUAGAGCUCAUGAUAGAGUUAGCUUAUCUCAGAAGCAGUAUUUGAAAAAGGUACUACAGCAGUUUAGCAUGAACGAGCAGACAAAACCUGUAAGUACCCCGUUGGCUUCUCAUUUCAAGCUUUCUGCACAACUAUCUCCUUCGACGAAUACGGAACGAGAAUACAUGUUGCAAGUUCCGUAUUCUAAUGCAGUGGGUAGCUUGAUGUAUGCAAUGGUGUGUACAAGACCCGACAUUUCACAGGCAGUUAGUAUAGUGAGCAGGUAUAUGCAUAAUCCUGGAAAAGGACAUUGGCAAGCUGUGAAAUGGAUUCUACGGUAUAUUCAGAAGACCGUGGAUGUUGGAUUACUGUUCAAGAAGGAUAAUACACUUGGUAAAGGUGUUAUUGGGUACGUUGAUUCUGACUAUGCCGGUGAUUUGGACAAGCGAAGAUCAACCACCGGUUAUGUGUUUACACUUGCUGGAGGACCAAUAAGUUGGAAGUCUACACUACAGUCUACAGUUGCAUUGUCAACCACAGAAGCCGAGUACAUGGCUGUAACAGAGGCUGUAAAGGAGGCUAUUUGGUUACAAGGUAUGGCUAAAACCUUGGGGUUGGUUCAGGAGCAUAUUAACGUGUAUUGUGAUAGUCAAAGUGCUAUUCAUUUAGCAAAGAAUCAAGUCUAUCAUGCACGUACAAAACAUAUCGACGUACGAUUCCAUUUUGUGCGGGAAAUUAUUGAAGAGGGGAAAAUUUGUCUUCAGAAGAUCAAGACUGCAGAUAAUCCCGCAGAUAUGAUGACCAAGGUGGUAACAGCAACCAAGUUCGAACAUUGUUUGAACUUGAUUAAUAUCCUGCAAGUUUAACAGUUGAAGAAGGCACUAUCGAGUAUUGUUGUCAAAGGCAGAAAGAAUUGUGUGAAGAUAAGAUUAUCCUAAUCAAAUCUUCAAGGUGGAGAUUAUUGGAACCCACCCAUUGUUUGAAAAGUCAAAAAGGGUGGGCACCGAAAGUAGAAAGUAAAAUUGGUUGGCAAGUUGGGUUAAAAGUUGGCAUGGGAUAAUUGCAAUUUUGGUCCCUAAUUGUAUAGGGACAUUGCAAGUUGAUCCUUGAACCUCAACUAUAAAUAGGCGUAACCAUUUCUUACUUUCUUCAUCCCACACUUGCCAUUCUCUACUUAAGGCAAUUGUUCUCUCUCCCUAUUUGUAAACUUUCACUUGUAUUUUUGGAGUGAAAUAUAUUUGGUAGUGCUCGAGGACGUAGGCAAAAUUUGCUGAACCUCGUUAAAAUUCUAGUGUUCUUUAUUGUUUAUUCUGCAUAUUUUGCAAGUGUCAUUGUAGUGAUUUAUUGUGCUAUUAAAUUACGAUAGAGGGAUAUUCUGGCUAGAAAAGAUCUGGUAUGUAAGCGAUCCUCGUGAUCCACCUCUCUUUCCUGGGAAUUGAACUUAGUGUGAUUUUUCAGUACAAUAAUUUUACUCUUUCACACGCUUCCGCGCAACAUUUACUCUCUCUCAAAUUGGACUGUGUUGGAAUGUCAAAGAUGACCUCGACGACCUCAAAAGCACCGUCUCUACAAUCAAAGCUGUGCUUCUUGACGCAGAAGAGCGAUCCGUGACCAGCCAUCUCGUCAAAGAUUGGCUUGAAAAGCUGAAAGAUGUACUUUACGAUGCUGACGACUAGCUCGAUGAUUUCUCUACCGAAGCUUUGCGGAAAGAUCUAUUGGGUGGGAACAAGCUGACGAAAGAGGUACGCCUUUUCUUUUCGAGCUUAAACCAGUUUGCUUACGGUCUCAAAAUGGGUCGGAAAAUUAAGACCAUUAAGGCCAGGUUGAUUUCAAUUGGAAGUGAAGCCAAGGUGUUCAACUUGGUAGAGCGUGACCGUCCCAUGGAAACCUCUUUCAUGACUAAAAAGAGGCAGCUAACGCACUCUAAAAGAUAAAAUAAUAGGGAGGGGCGAUGAUAAAGCAGCUCUUCUAAAACUCGUGUUAGACUUUUAAAGUGAAGAGAAUGUGUUGGAACAAUGGCAGUAGCAAAAAGAAAAAGAACAAGACAGAGAACAAAGGAGGAAGAAACAAAAACAAUUUACUUGCUCACAAACGUGCAGCAAGGAAGCAAUCUGCUAUACACAAGUGAUAUGCUUAAUUUUUCAAUAAGAAAAACAAUACAUUUAUAGCCAACUACAUCAGUUAUUACUACCUACUACCACUAAGUAGCCUAGUAACUUUAAAAACAUUGCUUGUACACAAACAGACCACCUAAACUAGUCAUUCAACACCUAAACAUAUCAAGCUGUCAUCAGCUUGUUCAUUUCCAAGUAGUUUAAUCAACAAAUAAACUAAAAAGAAAACCUUGCUGUUACAGUAAGUAUACAUGCUGCAGCAUGUCAUCAAGCUGCAUGCACUGUAACAGCAGAAUGGUUGGCCAAUUUCAACAGAAUGUUUACAUCAUUCCAAUUGUGGGGUUUGGAGGGUUAGGGAAGACUUCUUUGGCUCAGUUUGUCUAUAAUGAUGAAAUGGUUAAAAAUCAUUUUGAGUUGAUGAUGUGGGUGUGUGUUUCAGAUGUUUUUGAUGUCAAAAUAAUUGUAGAAAACAUGAUCAAAUCUGCAACAGGCAAAGCACCAGAUCAAAAUCUCGAAAUGGACCAAUUGCAAAAACAACUUCGGGAAAAAAUUGGUGGGAAAAAAUAUUUGCUUGUUUUGGAUGGCACUUGGAAUAAUGAGUGGGAAAAAUGGGUUAGUUUAAAAGAGUUAUUAGUAGGUGGGGCUAAAGGAAGUAGGAUCAUAGUAACUACACGCUCUUUGGGAGUAACAAAGAUUACUAGUAAAUGUCAUCCCAUUUGAAGCAUUGUUUUGCUUAUUUUCGACUAUAUCCAAAAGAUCAUGAAAUUGAUGUACGAACACUUGUUCAAUUUUGGGUUGCACAAGGUUUUGUAAAGCAAUUGAAUCCAAGUCAAUCUCUUGAGGAGAUCGGAUUUGGAUAUUUUAAAGAUUUAGUUGAAAGAAGUUUCUUUCAAGAGGUAGAAGAAGAUGGAUUUGGGGAUAUGAGAUGUAAAAUGCAUGAUUUAAUGCAUGAUCUAGCUGAAUCAGUAGCAGGGAUGGAGAGUAGUAUUAUAGAUUCAAAUAAAAUUGCAAGUGAUGUUGGUGAAAAAUGUCGCCACAUAUGAAUUAAUCCUUCAUUAAUUCCUUCAUUAAUUCCUUCGUUUAAGGGAAAAAAGUUGCGAACCUUUUUACAGAAUGCAACCGUGGGAACUCCAAAUUUGAGCCAAGAAACUUGGGAUUUUGUAAUUGCAAAUUGUAGAUGCUUGCGUGUAUUGGAUUUGCAAUGGUUAGGUAUUGAGAUGAUUUCACCCUCCAUUUACAAGUUGAAACAUUUGAGGUACCUUGAUCUUUCUUGGAAUCCCGGUCUUAAGAUUCUCCCAAAGAGUAUUUGCAAGAUUCAGAAUUUGCCAGCGCUGAAACUUGAUGGGUGUAUUGGGCUUCAAGAAUUGCCAAAGAAGAUUGAAAAAUUGGUGAAUCUUACACAUCUUUGUUGUCGUUAUUGUAAUGGCUUAACUCAUAUGCCACGUGGAAUAGGGAAGCUGACUUCACUUGAGACGUUAAGCAUGUUUGUAGUGGAUAAAGAUGAGUCCCAUGGCGGUGCAGAUCUAAGUGAAUUGAGACUGCUUAACAACUUAAGGGAAGAGCUAGAAAUAAGAAAUUUGGGAUUCGUAAAAAAUGCAAAAGAGAAGUUUAAGGCUGCUAAUUUGAAAGAGAAGCAACAUUUGAGCUUGUUGAUUUUACGAUGGGAUGUUGAUUUUGAUGAUGAAGGUGAUGAUGAUAAAUCACUUGAAGACCUCCAGCCCCAUCCUAAUCUCAGGGUGCUUAAUAUUGGAGGAUGGAGGGGUGAUGCCAAGUUUCCAAGUUGGCUUCCUUUGCUCACAAAUCUCGUCACAAUUUACAUAAGUGGUAGUAAUUUCAAACAUCUCCCGUCCUUUGCGCAAUUUCCUUGUCUUAAACGGCUGGAGAUACAUGAUUGUACUAAGCUGGAGUACAUGGAUGAUAAUAGCCCAAAAGGAAGUCAAGGAGAACCACAAUCAUUCUUCCCAUCACUUAAGCAUCUUUCUCUCUGGGACUGUCCGAAUAUAAAGAGUUGGUGGAGGACGACAAAACCAAUCGAUGAUGAUUCCAAUGAGGACGACACAACAAUUUUGGGAACAUCAACCAUGGCAUUUCCUUGUCUUUCCUCUUUAACAAUUAGAAAUUGCCCUUUGACUUUAAUGCCACUAUAUCCAUCACUCGAUAAAGAUCUAAUGUUAUCGAAUACCAGUUCAAGGCUGUUAAAGCAGACAAUCAAGAUGAACAUCAAUGCUAAGGCCCCAUCAACUUCAACCUCUUCUCUUCCACUCUCCAAAUUGAAAUCUUUCGAUGUACACAACAUUGACCAGUUGGACACUCGCACACUAGGUGAGUGCCUGAACAUCUCACUAGCCUCAAAACAUUAAUAAUAAGAGAUUACAAGGAGGUUGAUUUAGAGGGCAUGCAAUUGGAACCCCUUAAGAAUCUCUCUCAUUUGAAGAUUGAUAAUAUUCCAAAGCUGGUGUCUCUCCCCAUUUGGCUUCAACAUCUUGUUCAAUUGAAAACAUUAAAAAUUCAUAACUGCAAUGGAUUGAGGUCACUCUUUCCUGUGUUCCAACAUCUCACUUUCCUUGAAGAUUUUGAAGUAAAGGACUGCAAGGAGGUUGAUUUAGAGGGCAUGCAAUGCGAACCCCUUAAGAAUCUCUCUCAUUUGAAGAUUGAUAAUAUUCCAAAGCUGGUGUCUCUCCCUAUUUGGCUUCAACAUCUUGUUCAGUUGAAAACAUUAAUAAUUCAUAACUUCAAUGGAUUGAGGUCACUGCUUCCUGUGUUCCAACAUCUCACUUUCCUUGAAAAGUUUGAAGUAAAGGACUGCAAGGAGCUGGAGUUAUCUGGAACUGGCAUCCAAAUAUUCCAAGAUCAUACAAGCCUACGCUUUCUAUGGCUGCAAAAUAUUCCAAAGUGUCGGCAGCUUCCGGAGUGGCUUCAACAUCUAACAAAUCUGCAACGGCUUUAUCCCGUUAAUUUGCCCAAUUUAACAUCUCUUCCGGACGAGAUGCGAUGCCUAACCAGUUUGGAGUAUUUACAAAUACGAGAAAUUCCUCAGUUGGAGGAAAGAUGUCGGAAGGACAUUGGCGCUGAUUGGCAUAAGAUUGCUCACCUCCCCCACAUUUGGUUGUAACAGGUUGGUCUGUCUUUGUUAUUUAUUUAUUUUGAUGACCUUAUCUUUUUUUUGAAGAAAAAUAAGAGUGGUAUAUUGAAUCUCCAAGUCAGGGGUCUGAUGCCAUUUUUCAUUGAAGUUGGAUACUGUUAAUUUCCUUGUUAAAAUCCCUUUGUUUUAAUCCUACUUUUUACUUAUCAUCUUUCAUAAUAUUUUUGCUGAUUUGUGCAGUAAGGCAUUGGAGAAAGGCAUUAGUCAACUUCAGUCAUUUUAUAUGCAUAAAAAGAGGUGCUAAUUUAUCUAUUUGCUUUUUACUUUUAAAUCAUAAUAAUAACUUGACAAUUGCUUCUAAGAAUUUAAUUCCAAAAAAUUAUUGAUGUUUAGAGAGAGGCCUAUGAAGCCUUCAAAAUGGUUGUAUUAUAUGCUCUGCUUUCUUCAUUUAAGCACUUACCUAUCAUAUCUUUAUAUAUAUAUAUAUAUAUUUAUGUUUUCUCUUAAUAUAUGCCAACCGAUUACUAUCUUAGAUGGUACCUGUGCUAUUGACAGGGUUUUGGAGGUAUUCAAAUUCAUAAUAUUCAUUGAUGCAUAGCACUCUUUUAGCUGUUUGAAAUUCCAACCAAAUUUAUUAUUGAAGGUCCAAACAGGAAAAAAAGGAAGAUGCUUCAGAAUAUUUUGUGGUGAGGUUGAAGUUGAUAAAAUGAUUCAUUAUUUAUAUAUCAACAGCAAUAUACUAAACACACAUAUGUGCAAAUAUAAGGCUGAUAAUAAUGGGAUUUGUAACAUAUUCUACGUUGGCAUUUAUAAUUUUCAGGUUCAUUGAUGCUUUUGGAAGAGUCGUUCAAGCAUGACAAUUGCCAGACAUAUUGCAUUUGAAAAAUUAUUAUUCCACUUUACAUGGAGCUUAUUAAGAGCUUGAUUCAUAGUAGGAAAACCAUCUGAGUGUUGAAUGUGAAUUUUCACUUGCAUAGCUAAAAUGAGUUGGGAGAGAAUUUACUUAAUUGUACUAAAGUGAUGUUGCAUCAAGUGUUCAAAGGGUUAGGCUUAAAUCAUUUCUUUAUACUAUGAAGGUCAUAGUGGAUUCAUUUUUGGACAAAGCUCCGCAGACAUAUGACAAGUUCCUAAUUGCAUAAACAUCUUAAUUGUACUCUUUAUUUUUCUUAUUGCAUAAUACGUACCAAAUCAAGAAAAAACACAUUUAUGUUUUUUUAGUGUUCCAAACAGUAUUCAAAUGAAGGGAUGCACAAUUGAUUACAAGACAACAAUUUUUUUAGACAGUAUUCCAAGGCUAUGUUCAAUUAUAAUGCUUGGAUUAGGAUCCUUCCAAAAGAUGUCGAUUUCCUGCCUGUAUAUACAUAUGACUUGUAUGUUGAUGCUUAUGUUGGCAGACAAUAAAUUACAAGUCGAAUAACACCUUGUAAUUUGUUCUUGUCGUUUAAACAAAACAUACGGCUUUUCCUUUGAAAUCUCGAUGCGACGAGGCACUGCAAUCCUCGAAAGGAAGGAAGGACAUGAAGGACAUGGGCAAUGGCAGGGGUGUUUCUUGGUGAGCUAAGGAAAUCAAAAUCUCCAUGGAGGAUUCUAGCCCAUCAAUUCCCUCUAUAUGGAAACAAUGAACCUGCAAACUAUAAAUAUCAGUAUACGGUAUGAUAAAAUUGAUCUGGUAUAGACCGAGCAGUGUCCAAAUGUAGAAGAAACACAUACCCUUACUAAAAAUAUAACUCCAUAUUUUGUGCACAAAUGGUGGCCAAACACAAAUCCGUUGUAUAUGCUUUUUGAUUCCAAGUUUAAGAAAGGGCCAAACAUUGGGCAUCCUCAUCCUCAUCUGUAAUAGUAACAAAUUCACAUUCCCAUUAGUGUUUACCCCUCAAAACUCAAUUCCAACUUGAUCAAAUUUACUUUCAAAACAUAACUUGAUUCAAGAUAAAAAUCAACUUGGACUUCUUUACCUAGCAAAAGAUGAACAUGAUUCUAAAAAAUUCAAGGUUUUCGAAACCUGACCAUAGUAAAACUGAUCAGGCCACCGAUUCAUUGGUUCAACCGGUGCAAUUAAAUAAAUCAUUAAAAAGUUCAUAAAAAAAUUAAAACCUGAUUCAAUGGCCAGGUUCAACCAGUUUUUCUCCCAAUACAAUCAUCUAUACCGGUUCCUGGGUCAAUCGAUUUAGUGCCCUUCUUCGAACCAAGAUCCUGGUCCGAUUCAAACAACCUUGACUAAUUAAACCUAAAAAAUUAUUUGUCUUAAGUUCGGAUUUCAAUUGGUAUUUUCAAUAUUAGUUCAAAAAAAGAAAAACCCUUAAUGUAGUCUUACAAACCACUCUAAGUCGGACAUGAAGGUAUUUAAAUUCGGCUUACUCAAUAGCCCAAGCUUGGCUAACCAAUAUUUAAACCGAAUUCCGCUAACAUUAGCAAAACCAAAACAUGAAAAUCUCAAUUGUAAAUAAGUUAGAGAUAAAUUUCAACCAAAAAGGGAAAAAACAUGAAGGAAGCAAUAGAAGUAGAAAAAUAACUGGAUUCCUAUAAUCAUAUGAUUAUAUAUAGAUACCAUGGACCGAUUUCGUACAAACAACAAGAUUGAUCCAAUGAUUAUCAUCACGAUGCACCAAUUCUACACAUCUACAUUUAGUAAGGCUGCUUUUUCAAUUUUGAUAUGUAAAACACUAAUGACUAAUUAAGCAACUCAGAUAAAGAAAAGGAUGUUGUUAAUGUGCAUAUAUAACCAUUCCAAAGUCUGAAUGAAGCAUGAAUGAAGCAUAUCUACUCCGCUCCCUUCAACACCUGUCAUUCUAGGAGUUAAGGAUUACACAUUCACCUGUUGUACCUCUGAAUGUAUAAAUAGGUUUGUGUGCUUUUUUCCUGCCUUUGGGGGGUUAAGCAGAUAGAUUAGCUAAAUUUUAUAGAAGGAUACAAUCGGUCAUCCACAUAUCCAUAAUGCUAACAUCGGGUAAGUUGUUCAUUUAUACGUAUAAAUAAGUUAUAUAACCACUGAUAUGAUAUAAAUUUAUGUAUUAUGUAAAUUAUGUAAGUUAUGUAUUAUGUAAGUUGUGUAUUAUGAAAGUUAUGUAAGUUAUGUAUUAUGAAAGUUAUGUAAGUUGUGUAUUAUGUAAGUUAUGUAAGUUAUGUAUUAUGAAAGUUAUGUAAGUUGUGUAUUAUGUAAGUUAUGUAAGUUAUGUAUUAUGUAAGUUAUGUAAGUUGUAUAUUACGUAAGUUAUGUAUUAUGUAAGUUAUGUAAGUUGUGUAUUAUGUAAGUUAUGUAAGUUGUGUAUAAUGUAAGUUAUGUAAGUUAUGUAAGUUGUAUAUAAUGUAAUUAAGUUAUGUGUUUCAAAUAUAAACCAAUAGGGCAUUUUUCUAAAAAAAAAUACUAAAUUUUAUUUAAAUAAUUUACAUUGUUAUUUUAUAUUAUAAAAUAUUAAUUUUGAAAGUGUCAAAAAGUUAACUUUAGUUUUUAUCCAAAUAAAUAUUUAACUUGAAUUUGUAUCAAAGUAAUUUGUUUAUGAAAGGAUAAGAUUUUAUUUUUAUGCGAUUUAUUUUAUUUAAGAAAAUAGCGUAGUCCAAAAAAUUUUAUAUUAUUUAUAUUAUUGAAUUGUUUAGUCAUAUUGAAUAUUUAUAUUAAAAUUGAAUUAUUAAUUAUACCAUAAAAUAUUCGUGUUAAAAUUUUAUAUUGGUAUCAAUUUCACAUUUUAUUUUUAAAAUAACUUUUAUUAAAAAAUUAUAUUUUUACAUUUAAUAUAUUUUUUAAUUCCAAAAAUACAUAGUGACAAGAAUCUGAAGAUAAUUGAAACAACUAAGCAAGCAAAGAAGCUAACCAAUAUAUAAAAAAUUAAUAAAUAAAUUAUGAGGUGAUGAAAUUUAAUAAAAAUUUUGAUUAUGGUGGACAAAUUUUAUUACGAUGGAUGACAGUGGUUACAAGGACUCAAAAUUAUUUUUUAAAAUUUAACUCGAACAAAUAUAUUCGAUUCGAAUCGAUUCGAUUCGAAUUCUAUCUCACUCGACUCGAUUCGAGAAAACUUCAAAUAAAAUUAGGAUAAUAAAAUGAGAUUCGAAAACUCGAUUAACUCAAAAAUUUUCGAUUCGAUUCGAUUCAUCGAAUACUCAGCCCUAGGAAGGUUGGUCAAAAAAGUUUUCAUACUUUUUUGAACCAGAUUAAGAAAAGAGCAUAGUCCAAAAAAGAUGGUUGGUCAAAAUCAAAAUCCCCUUAAUUAUCAACACUAACAAUUGGAUUUCAUUUAUUUUAAAAUUUCGAGAAUAUAAAUUAAGUAAAACAUGCAUCCAUACCAAAUAAAAAAAAUUCUUCUAUAGAAAUUUUACUUUUUUUUAAUAGCUUCACGUGCUAUGAUUUUCCGAUAUCGUAUGGAUUAAAGUAUAUAACAAAAUAAUAGUUUAAGUAUUAUUCAAUUUAGUCCAAAAUUCACAUUUUUGCAAAUUUACAUUUUUACCCCUAAUAUUUUAACUUCUUUACAGUUUAGUUCUUAAGCUCGUAAAUGGAAAUUUAUGCAAUUUCACCUACAUACCAUGCUAACCGAUUUACAUAGGGACUCAUAUCAACCCACAUAAAUAAUCAAUUCACAAUUUUAUCAUGAUAUUUUACUAUAUUUACAAAUAAGUCCCUAAAUAAUAAUUUUAUCAAAAAUCACUUCACAAAAGUUGUUUAUUUAACAAUAAUGAUUCAUAAUCUUUCAUUAAAAUUCACAUUUCACCUAUAUCGACAAUUUUAAUAAUAACAGUAUAGUUAAUUGUUAUCAAUAAGACGAAGUGAAGUUAAAUUACCAAUGCAUGGGUUGAUGAUGAGAUGCGUUGCCUAACCAAUUUGCAAAAGUUAAAUAUACAUGGAGUUCCUCAGUUGGAGGAAAGGUGUGAGAAGGACAUUGGUACGGAUUGGUAUAAGAUUGCUCACAUCCCUUCAGGUUGGUCUUUUCAUUAAUUUCCUUAUUGAAAUACUACUCCUACUAGUGUCACGGGGCUAGACCAUUCGUCUCGCAAACCGUGCGGCCUUAGGCGAUCCGUCUGCUCCAAACUCGCCUAAGUCAGCCUUUACGCCAAAAAGUGAGGAUUCCUUAGAAUUCCUCCAAGGCACCAAUUGAAGAGCGAAAGCAAUUUAUGCCAAAAGAAGCUAAGCCAAAGAACAACAGAAAGCCACAGAAAAGAAUGCACACAAGGUGUUUGAGUAAAUGCUCUCAGAACUCUAUUACUCUUAAGAAUUCAGAAUACAAUGGAAUGAGUACAAAUGAGGGGGAGGCUCUCUAUUUAUAGUUGAGCUCCCCCAAAACCGACGGUCAAGAUAAAUUUACAUCGACGGACGAGAUUAACCAUACCCCUUUAUUUUAGGGAUUUAUAAGAUAUACCAUAUCAAAUCUAAUCUAAUCUUUACAAGAUAUGAUUCCCUCUAUCUUCUAAGAUUAGUUACCAUUUUAGCCUAAGUUGCCAUGUCUUUAUCAUUGGGCCAACUAGGCUUCAAUCUGAUAGGCUUCUCCAAUAGUUCUCUGAAUCGGGCCAGCUCUCGUGGGCUAAAUGUUCCCCAUCUUAUCGAUAGACCUCCAUGGGGCGCAUCUUGUGCCAUGGUCACGGGCUUUGCACUUUGGCCAAAGCCCGUGACAUUCUCCCCCACCCAUUCUCGCAACGCCCUCGUUGCGACUUCCGAAUGGCACUGACUUGAUUCAACUUUGAACCCUCUCGUUGCCUUGGCUUCUUCCCGACUUGUCUUGCAAUCAGGUUGUCCCUUCCUGUGGAACCUUUGCCUUGGCUUCCGUCGCAUCUUUACUUGAACCGUUGCACUCGUUGGUACAUCUCGUUGGCAAGAAGUCUCCGCACUAACUUGCCCAAAUUUUGACUUGCUUCCUCUUGAAUCAUCUCGAUUCUCACACCUUCGUAUUGCCCACAGUCCCUUGGCCUCCUUGCUCAUGAACUUUGAAAGGGCCCCUACGACCUUGCCAAGCCAACAAGUCAGAAUUCAAAACACUAUCGAUGUGUUCGCAAUGUACCUUACUCGCAGCAUUUACUCGUCCCGACUGUUUUUGCAUCGCUCCCUUUUUCUGAAUGCUCGAUGCACAACCCACCUUUCCCAAAGGUGUCAGCUUUACAGUCGAAUCUGCAGGCUUCAUAUCGAACUCUUGCGCCACUAACACUUCCGAAGGAGCUUUCGUAACUUUCCGUUCUAUCGAGUCAAUAUUCCCCCCAUACGAAACAUCCUCGACUAGUUGGAUUGACGACAACACCUUUGCCCCCACCCUCAUAUCUCGAUGCACUGUUAACGGACCAGUGCAAAUAUGAAUUUGAUCGGCGCAUGGAUACAGAACUAUUUUAAUCCUGUCAAGGAAGUUUAAGCCAAGUACAUAAUCGUAAUCAUCUAAUUCGAUUACCUCAAAGUCUUCCUUACCCUUCCAUUCACCGAUUUGUAGUUCCACAUUCUGAACUACUCCCAAAGUUGGGGCCUCCUCAGAAUUUACUGUCUUGAUCUUCCUAUUCGAUUUCCUAAUCGACAGACCAAGCUUCUUUGCAGCCUUCUCUGAUAUGAACAAGUCUGAUGCUCCCGUAUCAAUAAGAGCACUCCGCUUCUGACCCGCAAUGUUGAUGUCUACAAACAUCAACCCUUCUCUUCCAUUCCUUUCCUUAGGAAUGAGCACCAUCGAAUUGACCCUCGAUGGCUUUUCCUCAAUAGGCUUCGCCUCUUUCGGCUCAUCACCUCUCUUGAUAGCCGAAACUGAAGAUACCUUUGGGCAGUCCCUCUUCAUGUGCGGUCCCUUGCAAAAGUAGCAACGUAACUUUCCCCUCUUUUCUUUCGGGCUAUUAGGUCUCCACUUCCCAUUUCAUGGUUUUCUAUCAUCACCAUCGCUACUGCUACCGUUGCCAUCAUAGCUUUGUCUCUCUUCAUCCUCCUCAUGGUACCCACCAUUGCCCCUCCUGUUGGGCUUGGAAGAUUCAAACCUGUCCCUUCUCGGAGCAAGUUCCACUAUAGACUCCGCUACCAUCAUGGCAUUGGUGAGUUCUUUAACUCCUCGACGUUACAAUUCUUGCCUCGCCCAUGGUUUCAGCCCAUCCGUAAAGGAGAAAAAUGCUUCUUUCUCGCUCAAAUCAGAAAUCUGAAGCAUAAGUUCACUGAACUCCCGCACAUACUCCCUAACCAUGCCUCGUUGCGUUAGCCGUCGCAACUUUGCUCGAGCUUCAUCCUCGGCAUACUCGGGGUAAAACUGUGCUUUAAAUUCAUCUUGGAACUCCUUCCAAGUCCCAAUCUCAGUACCACCACGUCUCACAUCAGUGGACCUACGUCUCCACCAUAACAAAGCAACGUCAGUGAAAUACAUAGCAGCAGUGUUUACCUUUGUAACAUCAUCCUCGAUGUUCAUCGCACGGAAGUAUUGCUCCAUGGCCCAAAGAAAGUUGUCCACCUCACUUGCAGACCUUGCCCCUUUGAAUGCCUUCGGCUUGGGCACAUCCAUCGCUUGUGGCUUCGGCUUUGAAGCCAACAUUCCAUUCCCUAUGGCAGCCUUGAAAAUCUUGAGCUCCCCCUUAAGCUCGUUGAUUUCCUCCUUCAAAGCUGUCACCAUAGCCUCGAGAGCAUCGUUCUUUUCAGCCAGCUUAUUCUCCGAGGAACCGAUAGUAUCCCACACAAAUUCCCUGAGCUGUCCUUGCAAUGUUUGCAACCCAUCAUUGUGUCUAUCAUCGACAUAGUCGAUCCUCUCCUUGACGUCCCUCAUGGACUCCUCAAGAGUGACAACUCGCUCCUCCAAAGCUGAAACUAAGUCCCUUGAUCGACUCGCUUUUCUGGCCCUUCCUCGGGUCUCCAUUGGCUCAUUCUGACCAACAACUUCUUUCGACAUCCCAACAGUGCCUUUGAACCAACAACUUCGAUAUUACUUGGUUCAAACCUUGCUCGGAUAUCACUUGUCACGGGGCUAGACCUUUCGUCUCGUAAACCGUACGGCCUUAGGCGAUCCGUCUGCUCCAAACUCGCCUAAGUCAGCCUUAACUCAAAUGAGGGGGAGACUCUCUAUUUAUAGUUGAGCUCCCCCAAAACUGACGGUCAAUAUACAUUUAAAUCGACGGACGAGAUUAACCAUAUCCCUUUAUUUUAGGGAUUUACAAGAUAUACCAUAUCAAAUCUAAUCUAAUCUUUACAAGAUAUGAUUCCCUCUAUCUUCUAAGAUUAGUUACCAUUUUAGCCUAAGUUGCCAUGUCUUCAUCAUUGGGCCAACUAGGCUUCAAUCUGAUAGGCUUCUCCAAUAGUUCUCUAAAUCGGGCCAACUCUCGUGGGCUAAAUGUUCCCCAUCUUAUCGAUAGACCUCCAUGGGGCGCAUCUUGUGCCAUGGUCACGGGCUUUGCACUUUGGCCCGUGACACUAGUACUACUUCUUUAACUAUCAUUUUUCAUAAUAUUUUUGCUAAUUUGUGCAGUAACCCAUCGGCCUUGGCUUGAAUUUUUCUGAUAGGCAUUUGACAAUUUUAAGAAUUUAGAUGCAGAAAAAGAGGUGGUAAUUACUUAAUUGCUUUACAUUUGUAAAUCAUAAUAAUCUUACAAUUUCAAAUGAUCUAAUAACUCCCAUGAAAUCCUCCUCUGUAUGCACAUUUGUUCUUUCUUUUCUUUUUUUUCUUUGUUGAAGAGUCCCGUUGAUGAUCUAAUCCUAAUUUUUGUUAGAUUUUGGCUUUCUUCUUCGGCAGAGCAUGGCAUAUAUUACAAGAAGUAGAGGUAAUAUCUGUUCAACUACGAUAUGUUCAUCUGCCAAAAUAUUCCAACAAAACAAAAAUGAUAAUACAUGUCAUCAGUUUCCUUAUAAUUUCCAAUUGAUCUGAUACAAAAUUAUAUAUAUGGAGUAUUUCAAGAGUUGUAAUAUAUAUGCCAACAGCUUAUAUGGUACCUAUGCUAUAGACAGAUUCUUUGGAGUCGUGUUGGAGAGACCUUAAACACGCAAUGUCGUUUUCAAGUAAGUAAAUUGAAUACGGGCUAAGAGUUAAGGAUUGAUGAAAAUGGAGGGGGAAGAGGGGGAUAGUUCACAAUAUUCAUUGAUGCAGGGCAUCAGGAGAGGAUCUUGCUUUAGAAUAUUCGGUGGUGAGGUUGAUGUAAAUAUUCCUCAAUAUUUGGUCAUAACUUUUAUGUCGGGUUUGGGGUGUUACACAAUUACUCAUUCUUGCUAUAAUCUUAUAACGUUAUCAUUAAAAAAUUUGGGUUGUGACACUUUGUCAAUUAAGUUUUACUUUUAUAGGUCUUGACAGCCUAAAAGAUAAUUUUUUAGUGGACUUAUUCUUUGACAUACGGGUGAAAUAAUUAUCUCAACUUGGUAAACAAUUUUGGUUUUCAUUUUACUUUUUGGUUUUAUUGGAAGCUGGUUCAAGCUUUUGUUCAAUCAAUGGUUGUAAUCCUUCUUUGAACGAGAGAGAAUUUGAAGCAGAUUGAAGUGUAGACUUAACUUAUUUUAAUUUAAGUAUGCAGUAUGAUAAUUUUUAGGUGUUUGGGGUUUUUCAUUUCUCUUGGGGCAUGGUUUUGAGGAUGAAAUGAUUUUUAAAGAGAGGUUAUGCUUUACGAUUUGACAUGGGUUUCAUGUACUUUGUUAUUAGUUUUAUGAUUUGUUAUUAUAUUUUAGUUGUCAUUUAUUUAGUUUAGGUGAGAUUUAAUUUAAGGUGUUUUGGGUAUAAGUAAGGUGUGCUAUUAAUUAUAAUAUCGUUAUCUCAUUAGGGGUUUCGUAUGUAUAUAAACAAUCAAUUAAAAAUUAAAAUUUUUCUAACAAAGCAGUCAUAUCUUAUUAAUUGUUUAACUUAGAUGUAUUACUUUAUUUUGAAAACUUAACUGAAAAUAUUAAUGUUAAUAAUAAAUAAAAUGGUACUACUGUUAAUAAUAUAUAUUAACACAUUUGAUAACCUAUAUAUAUGUAAGUAUAUAUGUACGUACACCUUGUAAAAACAUGAUUAUAUAUAAACGAUAACACAACGGUAACAUCUAGAAUAUAAAAUUUAUCAACGGUUAUUAGCCUUAUGUUACCAUACAUAUAUAUAUAUAAUGAUGCUAAAUUUAUAAUAAUAAUAAAAUAUCUCACCAAAACAACUCAUAAACACCAUUAGUAUUAACAAUAAUAAAGUUUAACUAAUGAAAAAAAGUUACAAUAAUCAUGUCACUUUGUGUGCCAUGUGGUGAACCCAUGUGUUCAUGUCCGACCAAUUAACAUUACUCUUUUUUUUUUAACAUACUAAUCCUAAGAAAACAACAAAUUUCUUGAUAAAAAGUUUUAUCGAAUUCGACAACAAAAAUUAUAAAUAAAGACUCUCCCUUAAUUAAUUAAGUUUUUAAUAUAAAAUGAAUACUUUUAUAUUGUUCCACAUCUGUGUUUCAUCUUGUUCCAAUCAUUCUCAUUUUACUCCUCAUGCAAUAACCAAACACUUCUUUGCUUGAUUUCUGUUUGAACCAGCAAUGGCCGAAGCAAUUGCAUUCGACCUCGCCCUAGAGCUUAUUACUAAAUUAAGCUCCUUUACUCUCUCUCAAAUUGGACUCUGUUGGAAUGUCAAAGAUGACCUCGACGACUUCAAAAGCACCGUCUCUACAAUCAAAGCUGUGCUUCUUGACGCAGAAGAGCGAUCCAUGACCAGCCAUCUUGUCAAAGAUUGGCUUGAAAAGCUGAAAGAUGUACUUUACGAUGCUGACGACUUGCUCGAUGAUUUCUCUACCGAAGCUUUGCGGAAAGAUCUAUUGGGUGGGAAUAAGCUGGCGAAAGAGGUACGCCUUUUCUUCUCUAGCUCAAACCAGUUUGCUUACGGUCUCAAAAUGGGUCGGAAAAUUAAGACCAUUAAGGCCAGAUUGAUUUCAAUUGGAAGUGAAGCCAAGGUGUUCAACUUGGUAGAGCGUGACCGUCCCAUGGAAACCUCUUUCAUGACUAAAAAGAGGCAGCUAACGCACUCUUUUAAAGAUAAAAUAAUAGGGAGGGACGAUGAUAAAGCAGCUCUUCUAAAACUCGUGUUAGAGUUUGAAAGUGAAGAGAAUGUUUACAUCAUUCCAAUUGUGGGGUUUGGAGGGUUAGGGAAGACUGCUUUGGCUCAGUUUGUCUAUAAUGAUGAAAUGGUCAAAAAUCAUUUUGAGUUGAUGAUGUGGGUGUGUGUUUCAGAUGUUUUUGAUGUCAAAAUAAUUGUAGAAAUCAUUAUCAAAUCUGCAACAGGCAAAGCACCCGAUCAAAAUCUCGAAAUGGACCAAUUGCAAAAACAACUUCGGGAAAAAAUUGGUGGGAAAAAAUAUUUGCUUGUUUUGGAUGACAUUUAGAAUGAGGAGUGGGAAAAAUGGGUUAGUUUAAAAGAGUUAUUAGUAGGUGGGGCUAAAGGAAGUAGGAUAAUAGUAACUACACGCUCUUUGGGAGUAGCAAAGAUUACUAGUAAAUGUCAGCCUUAUGUUCUGAAAGGCUUGUCUGAUAAUGAUGCUUGGUCUUUGUUCAAAGAGAUAGCAUUUGAACAAAGAUCUGCAGACUCAACAGAUUCAGGCUUUGUGGAAAUAGGAAAGCUGAUUUUGGAAAGGUGUUGUGGAGUUCCCUUAGUCAUAAGGACGAUAGCUGGUACGUUAUCUUUCAAAGAAACUAAAAGUGAGUGGAUUCCUUUUAAAGAUAACGAACUUGCUAGAAUAUCUCAGAGCGAAGGUGAGAUAUUACCUACACUUAAGUUGAGUUAUGAUCAUCUCUCAUCCCAUUUGAAGCAUUGUUUUGCUUAUUGUCGACUAUAUCCAAAAGAUCAUCCAAUUGAUGUACGAACACUUGUUCAAUUUUGGAUUGCACAAGGUUUUGUAAAGCAAUUGAGUCCAAGUCAAUCUCUUGAGGAGAUCGGAUUUGGGUAUUUUAAAGAUUUAGUUGAAAGAAGUUUCUUUCAAGAGGUAGUAGAAUAUGAAUUUGGGGAUAUGAGAUGUAAAAUGCAUGAUUUAAUGCAUGAUCUAGCUGAAUCAGUAGCAGGAAUAGAGAGUAGUAUUAUAGAUUCAAAUAAAAUUGCAAGUGAUGUUGGUGAAAAAUGUCGCCACAUAUCAAUUAAUCCUGCAUUAAUUCCUUUGAUUAAGGGAAAAAAGUUGCGAACCUUUUUACCGUAUCCAACCGUGGGAACUCAAAAUUUGGGCAAAGAAACUUGGGAUUUUAUAAUUGCAAAUUGUAGAUGCUUGCGUGUAUUGGAUUUGCAUUCUUUAGGUAUUCAUAUGAUUUCACCCUCCAUUUACAAGUUGAAACAUUUGAGGUACCUUGAUCUUUCUCACAAUUACAAUAUUAAGAUUCUCCCAAAGAGUAUUUGCAAGAUUCAGAAUUUGCUAGCGCUGAAACUUGACCGGUGUGAUGGGCUUAAAGAAUUGCCGAAGAAGAUUGAAAAAUUGGUGAAUCUUACUCAUCUUGCGUGUAGUGAUUGUUGGGGUUUAACUCAUAUGCCACGUGGAAUAGGGAAGCUGACUUCACUUGAGACGUUAAGCAUGUUUGUAGUGGAUAAAGAUGGGUUCCAUGGCGGUGCAGAUCUAAGUGAAUUGAGACUGCUUAACAACUUAAGGGGACAUCUAGAAAUAAGCAAUUUGGGAUUCGUAAAAAAUGCAAAAGAGAAGUUUACGGCUGCUAAUUUGAAAGAGAAGCAACAUUUGAGAUCGUUGGUUUUAGAAUGGAAUGCUGAUAUUGAUGAUGAAGAUGAUGAUGACAAAUCACUUGAAGACCUCCAGCCCCAUCCUAAUCUUAAGCAGCUCUAUAUUGCAGGAUGGGGGGGUGAUGCCAAGUUUCCAAGUUGGCUUUCUUUGCUCACAAAUCUCAUCACAAUUUACAUAAGUCGUAGUAAUUUCAAACAUGUCCCGUGCUUUGCGCAACUUCCUUUUCUUAAAUGUCUGCAUAUACGUAAUUGUGCUAAGCUGGAGUACAUGGAUGAUAAUAGCCCAAAAGGAAGUCAAGGAGAACCACAAUCAUUCUUCCCAUCACUUAAGCAUCUUUGGCUCUGUGACUGUCCGAAUAUGAAGAGUUGGUGGAGGACGAUAAAACCAAUUGAUGACGAUUCCAACGAGGACGACACAAUAGUUAUGGGAACAUCAACCAUGGCAUUUCCUUGUCUUUCCUCUUUAACAAUUCAAAAUUGCCCUUUGACUUUAAUGCCACUGUAUCCAUCACUCGAUGAAGAUCUAAUGUUGUCGAAUACCAGUUCAAGGCAGUUAAAGCAGACUAUCAAGAUGAACAUCAAUGCUAAGGCCCCAUCAACUUCAACAUCUUCUCUUCCACUCUCCAAAUUGAAAUCUUUCAUUGUACGCAACAUUGAGGGGUUGGACACUCGCACGCUAGAUGAGUGCCUGCAACAUCUCACCAGCCUCAAAAGAUUAACAAUAGGAGAUUGCAAGGAGGUUAAUUUAGAGGGCAUGCAAUGGGAACCUCUUAAGAAUCUCUCUCAUUUGAAGAUUGAUAAUAUUCCAAACCUGGUGUCUCUCCCCAUUUGGCUUCAACAUCUUCUUCAAUUGAAAACACUAGAAAUUCAUAACUGCAAUGGAUUGAGGUCACUGCUUCCUGUGUUCCAACAUCUCGGUUUCCUUGAAGAGUUUGAAGUAAAGGACUGCAAGGAGCUGGAGUUAUCUGGAGCUGGCAUGCAAAUAUUUCAAGAUCAAACAAGCCUACGCUCUCUAUGGCUGCAAAAUAUUCCAAAGUGUCGGCAUCUUCCGGAGUGGCUUCAACAUCUAACAAAUCUGCAACGGCUUUAUCUUGUUAAUUUGCCCAAUUUAACAUCUCUUCCGGACGAGAUGCGUUGCCUUACCA
Molecule: long non-coding RNA, 45574 nt
Filed under: Gossypium barbadense (sea-island cotton)
Lineage: Eukaryota; Viridiplantae; Streptophyta; Magnoliopsida; Malvales; Malvaceae
Description: long non-coding RNA (GBAR_LNC021350)
Source: RNAcentral